GUAUAAUUUGAUGUAUGAUAAGAUUAUGGAUGACUAUACGAAUAUGCUUCCUUGAACCAAAAAUAAAGAGAGUAAAUUAACAAACCUGCAGCCCAAUUCUUUAUCCAUCCACUAAGAAAGAUUAGGGCCUGCCUGACUCCUCUGAUGCCAAACUAGGAAGAGUCAAGAAAUCUUGACAAUGCUUUUCUUAGAUGGCAUCCAGGGAGCCAGGCAGACCAUUUCUGCCUGCAUUUAUUUGGAUGAUGUUGGUUUAGCUGAUAUCCUUCCUCAACAUUAUUGUUUUCUGCAUCGUGCAACACGUUCUAAUGAAAAAAGUCCUAUGGCUGUUAGUUGUUACACAAUCGAUUCAUAAAAUUCUGGAAUUUUCUUAAAUUUGACGAUAAAAUGUGCACCAAAGAAUUUUUUUUUUUUGGCCUUUCUUUCUUUUAAUGUUCCUACAUCAAAGUAGUCAUCAGUUCACAUAUUUUCCAAACAUAAGGAAAUGAAAUCAGAACUUUUGAUAAGUUACAUACACAACACGACCCGAUAUAGGGUUCACGGCAUAUUUUAUCUGAUUCCAAUGAAUGAAAGGUGAGACAGUACCUUCUAAAAAGACUUUUCUUUUACUCCUCCUUUUGUGUUCGAGAGAUUACCCCAUAUAUUAUUAUUUUUCCGUGUUGAAUUUUCCUUAGUCGAAGUAGUCAGCAGUUCGUAUAUUUUCCAAACAUGAUAUAAUCAUAUACUAGCUUCGCAAAAUCGAUCCUUCUGUUCUGUGCCUGGAUUAAGAUGUUGUUGGGUUCAAUUUCCUGCGGUUUUCUUGUUAGACAAAUUUCUGGGAUUGAGCUUGAACUCAUGUUUAUUUCAAUUGUUUCGCUUUUUUUUUUUUUUUUUUUUUUUUUUCUCUGCAAUAGUUCUUUUGUGGCCAGAACAUUCAAGACAUUAAUGCUUAAAAAGAUGUAAGAGGAAAACCUCCUCAACCUACAGCAAGUCAAAUUUGGUUUCCAUUGGAGGACUGCUCCUAAAUUUCACGCGUUCACGCUUCACACACAAAGUUGACGCGGUUGGGAGAAAGGACCCCGGCUAAAGUAGAACCGAAGGGUGUCAGAAUUUUCCAACUUGAUUUAGGCUCUGUUUGGAUUCAGAUUUUUUUGAAAAAUAAUUUUUUUAUCUACAAUGGUACAGUAAUACACAAAUAAAAAUAAUUUCAAAUACAUCAUAUCUAUACAAUAUAUAAAAAAUAACUCCAAAUAUACAAAAUAAAAUUACACAACUAUCCAUCACUCUCCACCAUCACGGCCACCACCCCCACACUCACGACUCUCUCUCCGCUCAUCUUUCCUCCGUCUCUCCUCCUUUUUUCCUCUUCCUCUAUCUCUUUCUCCUUCCUCCUUUCUUCUUUCCCUUUCCCCGCCCCCCAAUUUUCUUCUUCUCGACUGAUCGCACCCUUCUUAGUCACAAUCAAAUCUGAUUGCGACUGAAGCCGUGACCAAAACGAUCGUGGUUAGAAUGGUGACUAAAGUCGCAGCCACCACUAGCGAGCAAGAGAGGGGUUUGGAGUUGGGGGGAAGGAGGGGAGGGGGAGAAGGAAGAAGGGGGAAGGAGGAGGAGGAGGAGGCAAUAGAGGGGAAGAGGAGAGGAAGAGAAAGGAGAGAGGGGGAGGAAAAGGGAGGGGAUAAUGGUGGGUUGUGUAAAAUUAAAAAAAAUUCCAAAAAAAUUAUAAAUUAUAAAAAUAUUCAAAAAUAUAUUUUAAAAAUAUCUCUAAAAAUAAUUCAAAAAACAUCUACAGUAAAAGUUUUUCAUAUACACAACUACAUUAAAGUUUUUGAAAAAUACCUCAAAAAACAGUUAAUCCAAAGAGCCGAUUGUUUCAAAAAAUUGCACAACUUUUUGUUGAAUAUUGGCCCUAACUAAAAGCCAUUUAUUAAUUUUAAAGUGUUUCUUUGUUUUUUUUUUUUGGCUUUAAUCUUCAUAAAGAAACAAGGUAGCUGAUAAUUAAGAGUCCGUGGUGUAUAUCUAAUUUUUAAUUUUUUUUUUUGUAUAGAAACAAUUAAAAUUGUCCGUUUGAAUUGCUAUUUUUUUGCAUUUUUGUAAAAAAAAAAAAAAAAAAGGGUACUGUAACGAUUUGAUGUAUGUGAAACAAAAAUGUGAUUGAAAAAUGUAUUCUUAGAUAACGUAAAAUUUUUUUGAAUAUAAAUGGCAAUCCAAACAAAAACAAAAGUACUAUUGCUUAUUCACUCGUAUUAUGAAUAUCCGUUGUUGGAGGAGAGUGAUGAUUCAACAAAUUUUCACAUAUUGCGCCCUCUUCUGCAUCCUUCUCCCCUUUUGACCCAAAACUUUUGGGUAUAAGGUUCAUCAACUCUCUCUGAUUGAGUCCCAAACCCCUCGAAAAGGCCUAACACGAUAGUCUUCUAAUUCAUUUUCACUUCUUCAGCGAGUUUGAAAUUGAUUUACAACCUGCUAUAUUUGCUAUCCCAACCGACCUUUCGCCUAAUUCGGAUUGACUUGAGUUCAAGUAACUUGAUUUACUCAAAUACUCACUACUGUAUCUCAAGUUCUAUACUGUAAAAGCCUAUUUCAACAACUUAACUAGCAUCGAAUUCUAUUCAAUAAGGAAGGUUUACUCGGUCGUCACAAAAGUCUGGACGAGUUUCUGAUGCGACCAGCCCCACUGGAAUACCGAGCCGUGUUUCAGGCUACUUGGUGCAUAUCGUCCCAAGUUCCACCUUCUAGGUGAUAGCACUGAAGAUGACCUUUUCUGGGUCUAUGGAACUGAUCAUUGACCGUCAACGGCAAUAUAAUAUUUUUUUAGACGAUAAUUAUUGUAUAAUUUAUUUUAUUUUAUAUUAAAAAGAUCGGAUGAAUCUGAAAAAAUUCAAAAAUAAUUCGAAAGACAUCGAAUCACCACAAAAUCGAAACAGAUGCACCACACAUUCAUCUAAAUUUUUAAGCAGAGCUAUAUAAUAUAAUAAUUAAAGAGAAAAGAUUUAAAUAAUUGGCUUCCCAACCCACCAAGCUUGAAUGCCAAAGGCUGGUCGUUGGCACGAUAUUGUCAUUGUGGGUCAUCUUAUUUAGUGAUGUUUCUUUGUAUCUUCUGAAGCUGUCGUCAUCUAAGCAAAGGGCCCUAUAAAUAGGUAGAGCGGCAGUUGACUAGCACGGCAGAAUAACCCAUUCUAAGGCCGAAAGAAGAACGACUUCUGCAGUCUCUUUUCUCAGCUAGAGCUGUUCAUUUUUUUUUCAGUCGUUUUACUUGCGGAAUUAAGGCAAUGAAGGUGAUGCUCUGAUUCAUUUAUUUAACUUAAUCUUGUGCCUUGUCUGGCAAAAGAUAUGUAGCUAACUAAUUUCAAUUUGGUUCCUUGAUUUUGUUACCUGCAGCAAAAAGUCGUGAUUAAACUUUCUAUGAAUGAUGAGAAGUCCCGCAAGAAGGCCUUCAAAACUGUUGUCGGUCACGCAGGUAAAGAAGAAAGUUCAAUUUUUCAAGAAUUAGAUUCCGCAAAAUACGUGAUAAAACUGAUUCUAUUACCUUAGUUCUUGAGAUUCUAAGAAAGAAUUCGGCUGAGAUUCUUAUACAGAUUCUGACCAUCAUUCCUCUGCUUUAUCUUCAGGUGUGGAAUCUACGGCUUUGCAGGGAAAGGAAAAGGAUCAAAUAGAGGUUGUUGGAGAUGGGAUUGAUGCAGUGAAGCUUGCAACUUUGCUCAGAAAAAAUGUUGGGUAUGCAGAGCUUGUGACCGUGAGCCCAGUUGGUGAGAAGAAAGAUGGUGAUAAAAAAGAAGAUGGCAAGAAAGAUCCCAGUUCUACACAGCCACCUGUGGUUUGGUCCACUCAUCCUUAUGUUUACAGCAGCGUACCUCACCAUCUCUAUCAAGUUAGAGACCCCUAUGAUGACUCCAACUGCACCAUCAUGUAAGAAUGCAGGUCACAAGAAAUUUGGGAAUUUUAGGGUUACCGAUCUUUUUCCCAGUCAUACAAGGAAAAGUGAAGUUCAGGGGUGCUGCUAAAUUUUAGGCAUGGUCCUCUAGAGAACUGGAAUGAAGAUGAGAAUUCAAUCAUAGUAAGGUGAAGGGAAGAUACUUGGGUCCGUAGGGGGAGGACUCUGUUUCUUGGUGCUAAUAAACCAGUUGGAGCUAUUGCCUAGGUCUAGAUUUUGGCUUGUUUCAUGCUUAAAAAAAAAAAAAAAAAAUAUUUUGGCUUGUUUCAAGUGGUUGUUUGGUUGUUUUGUAUAUUCAAUGGUUGUAUUUGACAUCCUAGGAACAAGUGUUUGGAUAACUCAAUUUUGCCGAAUGAUAUUUCUUCAGUGUCAUAAACAUAUUUUUUAAUUCAUCUUUUUAUAUUUUCAAUCACAUCACAUAUAUCAAAUCACAGAAGGUAUCACAUAUAUCAAAUCACAGAAGGUAGUACAAUAAUUAUUUCAAAUAACACUCUAUCCAAAUUAAUAUCUAUGUAGUACCACUUUUGGUUUCCCUUGUUUUGUAAGUUUGAUUUGUUUUUGCAGAGAGAAAGGUGAAGCAUAUUAGAUAUCUUUUGCGUAAUUGGAUUAAUAAGAGAGUUUCUGACUUUCCAAUGAGUUGAUCCUUGAUGAAUUAAGCUUCGUUUCUCAACAAUAGAAAUCAAGACGUCGCACAUGGUUUAUGCAAGUUAUAUUGUAGUUAAGACCUUGGGAUGCAACUGAAUCGAGCUGCUCGUUUGGAGUUGAUCAAGAUGAAUUCAAGUUCAAAAAUAUUUAGUUCGUUAGCUAGCGAUCCAACUCGAGUAUAUAUAUAUAUAUAUAUAUACAUAUAUAUAUUAUUUUUUAUUUUAAUAGUAAAAUUACAUAUAUAUUUUUAAUAUUUUAUUAUUUGUUACAAAAAUUAUUAUUUUAUUUAUUUUUAAAAAUAAAAAUAAUUAUUUUUUAAUUUUUUAAUUUCGAAUUCAAACUUUAUAUUGAGAGCUCGUCGAACUCGAGUUUCAUAAAAUUAAAUUGAAACUCGACUCGUUUGCAUCCCUGCUUAAAGUCACAUCAAGGGGUUAUAUCCAUUCGGUAACGAAAUACUAAACAACAAUUUAACAGUAUAAUUUGAUGUAUGAUAAGAUUAUGGAUGACUAUACGAAUAUGCUUCCUUGAGCCAAAAAUAAAGAGAGUAAAUUAACAAACCUGCAGCCCAUUUCUUUAUCCAUCCACUAAGAAAGAUUAGGGCCUGCCUGACUCCUCUGAUGCCAACUAGGAAGAGUCAAGAAAUCUUGACAAUGCUUUUCUUAGAUGGCAUCCAGGGAGCCAGGCAGACCAUUUCUGCCUGCAUUUAUUUGGAUGAUGUUGGUUUAGCUGAUAUCCUUCCUCAACAUUUGUUUUCUGCAUCGUGCAACACGUUUUGUCACCACAUUAACACUGGAAGAUGCAUGCUACAAAUUGAAGCUAUUACUUAAGUAACAUAUUUUAAGUGUUAACUCAACUUGCCAGCCAUCCCAAACAUAAACUUACAAAGAAGAAGGAAGAAAAAAAAAUAACUUACAAAGAAGGAUGUCCCUACAUCUUUAGUCUUUUACCUAUCCAUUCAACUCCAGCUAAUUAGCAAAGGGGAAAGUGCGGGCCAAGAAGGACCAAUGCACAGAAUCUGACAUGAAAAUGUUAUUGGGCUUGAAAGGCACUGAAGUAUUCAAACCUUAUCUAGCAAUAUGGAUGGUUGUAGUUUAGACUUCCUAUCCAAGAUAGAUAACUAGUUUGACUCCUAUUCAUGGCUUAAAAUGAAAGGGAGAUUGUAUGUUUAUGAUUUCCUGGUGCUGUCUUACAUUGCUGUUGAUCAAGCCUUGCUCAGUUCUAAAGGAAUCUAGUUUAGCACACCAACUGCUCUCUGAAUAUGAAUAAAAUUAGUAUAUAUACUUGAUGGUUUUCAUGAUUGUAAUAUAAAAUUAGUACACUUGGAACUCAAUUGAAUAAUACAGUUAAGAUUGACAUUGCAUGUUAGGAUCUAUAGCCUCAAGAAACUUGGUGCUAAACCAUACAAGAGUGUCCAGAAGCUAAACAAGUGUGCAAAUUAUUGUCAAUGACUAAACAGACGUCCACUUACCAGCGAUCCUAGAGUGGCAAAGAAUGCAGCAUCAAAUGAAGAAGCAAACUAGAAAACCCUCCUCCUCCAUCCUUCUUGCUCAUGUUCUAUUUUCAAAGAUUCAUUACUGCUCUCCCUAUCUCAAACAUACUCGAAAUCGGAAUUUUUGAGAGGAUGGAAGUCGAAUGCGUACAGGGAUUGCUAUUUAAACUAGUUUUGAAGAGGAAGGACAAGAGAAGAUCCAAGCACAAGUUUGGAUGGACAGCUCUUGGGGGCAGGCGGCAAAGGCUUUUCACAAAUGCAAACACAUUUUCUAUAGCCUCACCUGUAGGGUGGGUGAUAGGACCAAAGAACAAAUUUAGGUUGUUUUGUAUGCGAAUUUAACAACUUUGGCUGGCUUUCCCUCUCAUUGCAAAUGGCCAUUUGCCCUAUCACCUUCGUUGUGAUUAAAUUAUUGAAAAAGCCUGAUUUUGCACACUCAGUUAUUUUGCACCUUCAUUUUAAAGAGUCAAUAAUGAAAAGGGUUAAUUUUGCAUACUUGUUAUCGUUUAAUCUUAAAUUGUCUACAAAACACUAGUCCAAAAGCAACUCUUUAGUGUUUCUACACCAACCUCAAUGAACAAACUUUUUUUCCCCCCUAUUUUGAAGCUUGUCGAAGAGCAAAAAAAAAUUCAAAACUUUGAUUUCAGUUGUUACGGCCUAUUGGAUCCAAAGAUUUUUUUUUUUUUCUGGCUAUUCUUUUUUCCGCAUUCUUCUGAGAUAGAGCCAAAGAAGUGUAAUUAUGUGGAGUUGUUUACCAUAAUCCCAUUAAGAAAAGCAUUUGACUGGCUGAUGUAGACAGGGCCAGAGCCGCUGCAUGAGACAAAAACACCCUUGAUGUGGAAAGGGAUCUUGACGGAUUAACUCAUAUUCAUUCAGCAAAUAAUACACUAUUAUUGAGUUGAUCUCAAUAAAGUAUUUUUGUUUCGAUAGGUUUAGACUUGAUCCAUCUUAGGGGUUGACGGAGCGUUCGUGAGUUGGAGAUCUGCAAGAUCGAAUUACUUGCUAGAGCUCCAAGAUCAAAUUACAUGCUAGAGCCUUAUUAGGAAGCAAGUCCAGGGACCGUAGCCUGCUUUUGUGAUCAUUGACAGAUUCAUCCAAAAAUCCAAUGUUGGACGAUAUUUGAUUGCAAAUUGAAGGAUUCUAUAAUCAAAUCAUGUACAAGUUUUUUUUAUUUUUUUUGUUUUGAAUUGGUAGAGGUUCUAGAGUUUAACUUGUACGGUUGUAUCCUUUUAUUGGAGCCCCAUCACAACAAAAUUAAUUUGGCCAUAAUUAGUGAUUCUGUUCUUUGUUUUUGUUGUGAUUCAAUUGAUUACAUGAGAAAUUAGUGCGAAUUUAUAGCAUCUGUGACGGAUUCAAUAUAUUUUCUGUCGUUAGUGCAGAUUUCAUUGGAAUUGAAAGUAUAUCUUGUUAUAAAAAAGGAAUUAGUUGAUUUUGGUAAAACUCAUUACUAAGAUGUAAUUCAAGAAACAAUUUUAAAGGAAUUGUGGUGAUGAAGUAUCAAUAUUCAUUUGGUGGCAAUCGAGACAAGAUUAGAGUUGAUACAUUUCAAUUGUUAAAUUUCGUGUUCAAUAAGGUGAUGAUAACGCGAUAGAUAAUCGAGAUUGUCUUACCCCCCCGUGCAGAAAGUAAACAUCUUUGUCAAAUCAUUGGUCAAUCAAUGGUCAAUCAAUGUUCGGGAUUAGUUAUUUUCGGCACUUGAGAGUUGAGAAAAAUGCUUGUCAGGAAGGAAAUUUCAACACAAACUAUUACGUGAAGGACUCAUCAAGUCAAAUAUCAAACGAAGUCGUACACAGUAGUAUCACUAUUUCUUCAGAGAAAUCAAAUUUUAAUUGAGAACACUUCCCGAAGCAUUCGUUCAUGUAGAACUCUUCUGUCAACGGAAAAGUGUGUUUGAUAAAGGUGAAGUAUAAAAGCUGGAAUUUAAAAUUUUGAAUUCAUUAUGUUACUGAAUUGUUAUGUAUUAAAUGUGAUACAUUUGAAUAUACAUCACGUUAAAUUUUGUCUAAAAAAUUCAGUGGCUCUUAAUUAAUUUAGAUGUUCUAUUUUUAACUAUCAAAUGCGUCUCUGUAAAUGUUAAAAUCUGAACCUAUUAAAAUUAAGUGUAGAAUUGGUUUAUUAAACAGGGCCUAAGUAUACAAGGGAUUCUAAUUUAUACAAAUUAUUUCUUUUUUGAAAAAUAUUUUGGAUGAAGAAUGUCCAUUUGGCACUCGUUUCAGGAGGUCCAAGUGUUAAUUUUUUAUUUUUUAUUUUUAAAAAGUGUAGUUAAUUUGGAUCAGUAUUUUAAAUGCGAAGGGUGUAACAAUUGCAUUUGUGAUUAUAUACUUUCACAUGAAAAGUAUUUAUGUAUGCUAACGAGUACUUAUUGGAUACCUAUUAGAAUAAUCUUUAACGAAUAACCCUAAAACAUCUCAAACAAAACGAAGAUAAAAUGAUUGAUAAGCAAAUAUACCUCUUCUCCUAUGUUCAAAUUCUUCAAAAGAGAAACAGACAAGCUAAGGCGUAUCCCAUUCCGAUAAAAUCAUAAAGAUGUAUGCCCAUUUUUUUUUUCUUUAGGAUGUACGACAUGCAUAAAACAGAACCAUCAAUUCUUCAAGGAACAAAAUAUUACUCUGCCAAUGACCUAAAUGGAACUUACAAAUUUCCUUGAUCUUCUCCUAAAUGGAAUUUGACAUAACGCUUUGUUUUUCCCUUUUUUUUUUUUUUGGUUAGUGUGGAAGCAUUAUUACUGACUUUUGUGUACAUAAUGGACUUCUAUAAAACCACACAUUCCUCAAAUUUCUAUGCAGAAGACAAUUCUUACAUCAGUAAUUUCUUUAUCUGCGAAUAACAAUCUUCUUCUGAUUCGAUGCAUGAAAAUGUUCACAGAAUCAAAGGACAUUGAAUGGGGACAUCAAAGGUAUAGAAUAAAUGUAGAAAAUCUCAGUUUCAUUUUGGUUGCUCAGUGGAAAUUGGCAAGAAAUCACUGAAUUGAUUUGGUGGUGAAAUUUUUUCACGUUCGAUUUGGUUGUUUUACUUGCUCAAUCAGGGCAGGAAAACAAACAGCUGGCGUGCAAUAUUAGGCCCGGAACUCAGGAAGCCCCAAAGUCCAUGCGUCUUAUUCUUUUAGCCAGGUGGGUGGACCUAUACCAAUUAUGAAUGUGAUAAGACCAACCACUGGGCCAAUGGCCUUCUUGAGCUAUAGGUGAGGUUCGGCGAAAAACAUCUGAGGAUUGCAAAUUGCAAAAUGGUCCCUUGUGAAAGGAAAAGCAGAAAAAACGAUACUGACCAAUAGAGAAAGCUUGAAGAUAAACCUCCUCAAGAACAUUCGCUAUAAGGACCAUUUCUCAGAAACGUUAAAGCAAAGCAAAAUUAUAAAAGGGGAUCUAAGGCAUGCGGAACUGCAAGCACUUACCCAACACAACUAUUAGGGUUGACAUUCUUUAAAGUUGAAACUUUUUACACUCGCUUUUUGUUUUUUCUUUCUUUUUUUGGGGGUAAAAGGCAUCUGAGUCCAUCUCAGAAGCUCAGUAAGGGUAAAAAACAAAUGUGACAUGCCAUCCCAUGCCAAAUGCUGCCAAAGUGGAGUGGAGGAAGAAUAUGCAGAAAUAUUCAUCAGUGGGCUGUCACAUUCAUCUGCUCAAAUGAUCCCUUGCAUCAUUCCAAGUGAAGCGGGUGGGGACCAGGGGCAGGAACGGUGGUUGCUCUGAAGGUUACGUGCAUUUUGCACACGGCGUAAUUCUGUUUGCACAUGGAAUAACUUACUUUCAACAACGUGUAAUUUUUAAAUAAAAUUUUGUGGGUCUUACGCAUGUUAUUAAAAACGAGGUACAAGAUGAAAUUUGAACCGUAUAAUUUUUUUUUUUGCUAAAUCUUGACCGUGAACUAUCGGAAACAGUUGCUUCCUGCAACAGUUCUUGCCUCUCUUCCAGCAGGUGUGGAUGGUCAUCAACGCAUAAGAGGCUCGAAAUAACAUGCUUGACGUGACCACAUAUGAGAGAAUAAUAAUAUAAGUGCAAGGUUGGAACUCGGAACUUCAAAAUAUGCUCGAGACCCAUACAUACAUACAUACAUAUAUAUAUAUACGUGUGUGUGUGUGAGCUCAUGCACUCAAAAGAAACAAAGAAGCCAAGAAAAAGGAUCAAUCGGGAGGUAAUGACUGUAGAAUUGAGAGGCAACCAGGCUAGCAAAGUAGCAAACUCUUCAAAUCUCUGCCUCUCUCCCGAGCAGACAAGGUAGUAAUGAAUAAUGAUAAGGGCCAUUUCUGACAACAUCGAAGCGCAGCCUAAUUGAAUUGGUCUGUUUCACUUACAACUAACAUAAUUGAAUUGGUAUGUUUCACUUACAACUAACAGGUCACAGGUUAAAAUCACUAAAGAGAUAAAUGGGAAAUCAUUAUUGAUCAUUUAAAUAAAAAAAAAAAAGAAGAGGUUCAUAUCCUUGGUUAACAGGGUCGUAUCCCAAAUUCUAGUAGUUCAUUUAAUUGAAAGAACUUUAAAAAAAAUAAAUAAAAAUAAAUAAUUGUGCAAUUUCACUAGAUAGAAUGACAACCUUGUAAAUGGGGACAUUGAACUCAAGUUAGAAUAACCUUAUCUUUGUGGAAUUUUAUAAGUAACUUAAUAGUUAAAGCUGUAUACAAGUCAGAUCGCUUGCGAGCAAUUCGAAUCAAAACUCAACUUAACCUCAAUCAACACCAAAUUUGAGCUGAUCAAGUCGAAUUCGAACUCGAACUUGAUUUCAAAAAUACUCCAUUCUCAAUUAGACCGAAUCUCAACUACUCGACUUGUUUAUAGCCCUUCGCCGGUCCAAAAAAAAAAGGCAUUUCAAGUCACAUAGUAAAGUUGACAAUUUAAAAAACGAUUAUGUUGCACUCUGUUGACAGUAAUAUGCUUAAAUUAGCUUAUGAUUACCUCAUUUGAAUCUAAAUGCUUCCUUCUGCGAUCUUUUUGUCUUAAUUUACGUGUCCAAGACGCGAAUUUCAUAUUCACGACUUUUUUUGAGUUUGUUUUUGACAAAUUCUGAAAGCAAUGGCUGUUCUAGAGGAAAAGAGAAAUCAAACAAUUAUUGGGAAUUGGUGGUCUGCUCUCUACUCAACGUAUUAGUGGUUGGAUGCAGAUUUUUCCUCCUUUUUACUUCUUCUGUAAAAGCUGUACUCUUCUUAGGGGGGAAACAAGAACUUAAAGGGUCAAAAGAGCUAUCAAUGGCCGCAUACAUUAAAAGAAUUGAAAAUUCUCAGAGUAUGCAAGUGAGGAAAUCAAAUUCUAGAAUUUAGUAUGUCAGCGUUUACGUUAGUUUUUGUACAACGCUGUAAGACUUUCAGGUGUGAUUUUAUUUAGAGAAUUCACAAUAGAUAAUUUUGACCGUAAUGUAUAAAUUGACAUCUUUUUGGAGGUGUGACAAAAUUAAAAAUUGCCUUCCAAUUUUUACGCGCCUAGAAGUGUUAUUGAUAAAAUGGCCGGUUUGCCGCAACGGAUCUUCUGUCUCACGCUCUGUGUCACUUUCUGUCUCAUUUUUUAUUAUAUUGCUAUUUCAACUACAUAAACAUCAUGUUUUAGUUUUUUUUUCUUAAAAUUUAAUAACUAUUAAUUGAGUAAAAAAUAAAUACAACAGCUUCAAAAAAACAAUAUAUAACAGAAAAUUAAAAAAAUAUAGCAGAAAAAUCAUAAAAAAUCUCAUUUUUUAUGCAUUUUGAUUUUUUGAGUUUUUUAAAUUUUGUGUAUUACUCAAUUAAUAGUUAUUGGAUCUUAAGAAAACAAAAAAGAACUAAAACAUGAUGUUUAUGUAGGAGAAAUAGCAAUAUAAUAAAAAGUGAGACAGAGAGUGGCACAGAUUGUGAGACAGAAGAUCCGUUGUGUCGAUUUGCCAUAUUGAUGCCUAUGCCAGAUCUCCUCUGAAAUUGACUUUGUUAUGUUCAUGUGCAAAUAAUUAGAGCAAGCUUCACAAAUUAGAAUUGACAAUUACUUUUAGAUGACUGCUAGCUGGCCCUAUAUACAUACAUAUAUAUAUAUAUCAACAAUGGUCCUGAGUUUUAUAAAUAAAUUAUCUAUACAAUCUAUAAAUAUAUUUUUGUCACUUUAUACAGUUUCAAUUUUGCACUCAUUAAAAUUACUUAUUACUUUACUAAUUAAACACAAAUUGCUAAAAUAACUACAUGGAACUGUUUUUAACCAUAAUUAAUCUAAACAUAUCGUGGCAAAAUGACGGCCUCUAACUGUCUAAGCGUUGUAACUAUUAAAACCAUCAUUUGAUGGGUGCAAAGGUUAAAAUAUCACAAUUUGCUUUAUUAAUGAAAAUUGUAUAUAAAAUUAAUUGGCAAAGAAAAAAAUCUGAAUUACACACACAUCACGCGUGUCUUUAGCACUAGUAUUUAAUAAUACAACUAAUACACACAAAGUAAGUUGAAUGCCAAGGAGGCUUUAACCUAGUGGUUAAUAUUGAAACUUGCAGCAGAGUUAGAGCUUUUGGGUGCAAAUUCCCCCUCCCCACUUCUUAAAUUCCACGCCCCCCCGCUAGAUUAAACUUUUUAUUUAAAAAAAAAAAUGGUAAGCUGAAUAUUGGCAUAUAGUUAGUGAAACUCGCAUAAUGUUAUAAUUGAAUCCAAAACCUUUGAUUCUUGGUCCAAGAUCACUUGAUAGGCUGAAAAAAAAUUCUAAAUAUAAAUUGAAAGGUGGGAAACAAAAAUGAGAACAAAAAUGAGUUUUCACGAUCUUAUUUUUCUAGGAUGUGAUGAUUUUCUAACGUGAAUGUCAAAAAUGUACUACAAGGAAGCAGUUGUGAUGAAGAGUGUGCAUAUCAAAACAAAAAUGAGACAAAUUGUGGACACAGCAGAGACCAAAAGGAUAGAGAAACAAGAACAACUUGGGAUUGAUUAGCAAGUACGGUUCCUACCACCUUCCAAAUUCCAAGCUUCACCUAGAAAUGUUGCCUAUGGAACUGAACUAAUGGAGUUAUUUACUAGUAUUGAUCAGUGACUCUAAAAAAUCUACAUAUCAUUAAUGAGCUGCAAGAUCUAAGGCGUCUUUGCAUGUGUGCAUUGCGCAUCUGCAUGUGCCUUCUUUGUAGCCGUUGAUGAUUAUUAGACAGAUUUUCUGCCUUUUCAACUCUCACAUUAUUGAUUGAAUGGUUUCCUCCAGUUCAUCGUUUUCUUGAAUUGUUGGCGUGAGAAAACCAAUUCAUGGUCUCAAAUUUCGCAGCGUCUGAUGGCAAGUUUGUGGUCCAGUCAUAUAUAUGCUAGUUCCAUAUAUCAAAACCGAAGACCUACCAAAACUUGCAAUUGGAGUUGACAACACACAAAUGUAGACAGAAGAUGGAUCGAUCUCACUAGCCGUUUUUGAUCGAACAGAAGUCAAAUCUCUCCUGCACCCGAGGCAGAUGCCCAAGAAUCUUUUAAUGGCUUUCAACCUAAAUAGUUGCAAGUUCAUAAAAAAUGAUGCUAGAUUCUUCUUUUUCUCCCCCCAUAUUGGUGAUCACUAUAAACUCUCUUCUUUCCUUUUCUUUUUCUAGCCCCUCUUGUUCGAUAUAAAUAACUAACUCUCUCUUAAUUGGAGGGCAGAUUCGACAAAAAGGCACUUUGGCCCUGCGCAAUUGCAGUUAGAACAUUUAGUGUAGUUUAUGGUCAUUGGUCAUUGUCCUUCAAUUUUAUAUUGCCCAAGAAAUGCGCAUCUUGAUGAAUGCUUUCGGAACUUCUAGAGAUGGGAUCCUAAUUUCAUACAUUGCGACUGACGAUGCUAUUGAUGAUAAGACGCUUUGGAUUUGGUCAAAAAUCCCUUCAAUUGGUGGAAACAAUACAUGAAUCUAUUCUCCUAAAAAUUGGGGACUUAAUGUUGGGGGAGAAUCGAUGUAAAACUCAUGUUCUCGAAUUCGAGAUCCUCCACAUGAAUAUUCGCAAAGAAGAAAAAAUAAGGAAAAAAUUCAAACCAUAAAAUUUAAAAAUAGAAAAAGGAUGUGAUAUGAAGGCCUCUAUAAUUUAUUUAGAUGUUAAAAACGCAGAAAAUUCAUUUCAUAAAUCCCAAAUUUCAUACAAGCAAGCAAGGCCACAUUUAUCAGUCAAAUGUCAAUGAAUGACAUGAGAUGAGACGAUGACUAAGUUAUGGAAGAUUCUAAAUCGGAUUCAAAAUUCAAUUAGAGGUUAGCCGAAUUGAAUUGCGAAGGAAUCUUCAAAGGUCUCUCUAUCCCAUAUUCCCAUUUCCUGUUGCUGCCUGCACUUUUUCAACUUCUAUCCGAUCAAGGCACAAUAACAAAAGAUCAAGGGCCCUAAAAGGUCUCACGUAUAUCUCAACUGUCAACACUUUUUUUUUUUUUUUUUAAUCGCCAACUUUUGUUUUAACUCUAUCCUGCAUUAGGGAAGAGGCCAAUUGAAUCAAGGUUUUUUCUUUUUCUUUUUUAGGGUUAAAGUAAAGGGGGAAGAUUUCACGUCUAGACCAAAUCAAUGUAUUACUGCACGUCUUCGCCAAGUGCAGAGAUUUGAAUUCCUGAGUUGCAGUUGGACCUGCACCUUGGUUAACUCGCAGAAAUUUAAAUUCCUGACCUGUAAUUGGACCUGCAUCUUGGUUAACUCUCAACUAUUUAUAUCGCCAUUUUUUCCCUUUUGUUUAUGAGGAAAGAAAAUGCCAUUUUCCUUAAAACUCAGUCUGAUUCCUUUUGAUCAAAGAUCAGCAGCGUUGGCAUUUCUCCACAUCUAGAGCAAAAUUAGCUGUACAAAAUUGGUAAGGCCUUUCGGCCAAUAUUCUUGCCGUUCAUCUGUCCAGAAAGUCGUAAAGAAGUUUUGUGAUUAUCUUCAGAAGUUAUAGGCUUACUAUUGUGCAAUGCUAAUGCACACCCGAUAUCGUGCAAUUAAUUGUUUUGAUGAAAGAAAAAAAUUUGAAAGCAGAAAGAGAGCAGAAAUUACGAGAAGAAGUCAAAGAUAAUAGAGAACUUUUUUGUGGAUAAGUGGAGGAGAAGUAUAAGUGGUUAGCAGUUGUGGGGACAAAAAAAAGGAGAAAUAUUAUUUACGCUCCCCUUUUUGUUAUUUGCACUCUCGCUAUCAUUUUUAUUAUAUAGUUUUCAUUUAUUAGAUUAUAUUGUAUAACAAAUUAUGGGAUUGCAAAGAACAAAAUAUGGAGUGCAAAUAACAUUUUCCAAAGAGUGGAUAAAGUCGUUUAAGAAAUUUUAAAAAUUAAAAUUUAGUAUAUCUUUUUUGCUAAUUUUGGAACCAUCAUACAGUUAAUAAUACAAGAAAUUUUAAAAAGUUACACUGUGUUGUAUAGUUCAUGCAUGAGGGUCAAGUCACAACGCCCUUUCAGCAAGAACCAUUACACUAACUUAUUUUCUUCUACUUUACGUGGUUAAAUUUUUUUUUUUUCCUUAGUUCAAAAGAUGAAUUAUGCGUCCUGCCAAUUAUUACAUACAAUGAGUGACUGAAACUAAUUUCUUGCUUCAUAUUGAGCAAAGGGACCAUGUAAAUUGUAGGUUUGGCCCAGUUUUACUGGUGACGCCACUAGCAAUGUUGGACCACGGGGUUGGUCAUCACCAUCCACUAUGCCUAGUAAAUUUUUUUUGGAUAAGAUAAAAUAUUUCAUUCCAUGAAAUCUGCAUCAACGACAGAAAAUAUAUUGAAAAUAUCACGGAUACAACUAAUCUAAAUAAUUACUACUAGAUUUAAUGACGGAAAAUACGAUGAACAUUAUCACAGAUACAACUAAUCUAAUAAAUCACUGGAUUUAAUGGCAGAAAAUACAUUGAACAUUUCAUACGUACACAACUAAUCUAUAAAAUCAUUGAACAUAUAUCACGGAUACAACUAUUCUAAGAGAUCGCUACAUUAUCUGAAAAAUCACUAGAGCUAACAGAUACAACUAAUCUGAAAAAUCACUACAUUAUCUAAAGAUCACGAGAGGUAAUAGAUCUAGCAAAUAACAAAAUGAUAAAGAUUAUGCUGUAAAACUCCAACAAAUCGGGAUCACGAAUAGCCCAAUGAAUAUCUAGUUUGGGAGGUUUGUUAGACUGAGAUAGCCAUCCUGAGAGACGAGAAUUGAGACAAGAUCUCCAAGGAGAUGCUUGCAAUCAAAUCUCCAACUGUGAUUGAUGAAUACAUGUAGAUAUAGAUUUUGCAAUUGUAAUCUAAUUUCAAGAGUAUCAAUCGCAUCAUGUGGCAAGGUGCAAGAUUUAGAUACCAUGAAAGGAUAAGUUAAACACAUGUACAUGCCAAUUGGAAAGUUUCUUUCAUGCAAAUUAUUUACAACUUUUUCAGGGGCAAUUCAGUGGAUGCAUGUAUCUACGCAAAUCCUUAAUGCACCGAAUUUCUUCUUCUUUCUGCUAACUUGUAGGAUUUGGAGCCUUUCGAACCAAACGAAUAACCACCACAAAAUUCGAGUCAAUAUGUAAUAUACUACAACAACACAAGUUCUUAUACGGUGAAAUUCUAUAGGAGCCCUUCAGGAUGUAGAGUUUCUUUAAGCAAAAGACUUUUAAAUCACACCUUAUUACGAGUUAGCGGAAGAGUGUUAUUCCAAAUGGUAACGGUUCUCUCCUCCUACUUUAUCUCUCUUGAUAAAAAGAAACAUAAAAAAAAAAAAAAAAAAAACCAAUGCCAGCAGCAAAGCAAAACAGAACACUUUAAAUAGACUGGGGCUACAUAGGAAGUGCAAAGGAGAAAGAAGAGGAAGUAAAGGGGCGCCAAACAAAGGGAGCAACAUCAAAGGGAGGCACAAUGAGAGCUAGUGCUUCAACCAUUUACUUCAUCUCACUUCUUUUAUCAUUGCUUCUUAGUCCCACUUUUGCUAUCAAAAAGGUCAGCAUAUAAUUACUUGACAGCCUUCUUCAAUAAUUCAAUUACUAUACUAUCAGUGCCUUGUUUUUUCUUUUUCAGUCGAAGUAACAUGGUUUUUGUUUUGUUUUUCAUGUGUACUUAGUCUUAUGUGGUGUACUUGGGAGCUCAUUCUCACAGACCAGAAGUCUCAUCCAUCGACUAUGAUAGAGUAACAGAUUACCAUUAUUCGUUUCUUGGGUCAUUUUUGGGGAGGUAUAACGAAAUCUAUAUGCAUGUACAUAUUCAAAAUCCUCUGCUUUUUCUUGUUUUUGCUCGAGAUUCAGUGACUAAUAGAAUUUUCAUGCUUGGACUUCAAACAAUAACAGUAAAGAGAAGGCGCAAGAGGCAAUUUUCUACUCCUACACGAGACAUAUUAAUGGUUUUGCUGCAAUACUUGAUGAUGCAGAAGCUGCUGAGAUAUCUAGUAAGCAAUUUGGAUUAGUGGUUCUUCUCAAUUUCUCUGGGCUGUUUUAUCUUUAGUUCGUGUUCGUAACCGUUGACAUCAUAUUUUCCUCUUUGAGUACAGAACAUCCAGAAGUUAUAUCAGUGUUCCUGAAUAAAGGAAAGAAAUUACACACCACCAGGUCGUGGGAAUUUCUGGGGCUUGAGCAUGAUGGCAAAAUUCAUCCCAGUUCACUAUGGAAGAGGGCAAGAUUUGGUGAAGGCACCAUUAUUGGCAAUCUUGACACUGGUGAGUUUGGCUAGGUCCAAUCCUACUUAUUUGGCAUUCUUUUUGGAGUAAAGCAAUGUUGAUCAAUUCAGCAUUGCGGUUCAGUUAACUGCAGAUUGUAAGUUUUGCAUAUUUCAUCUAGGAGAACUGUUAGUAUUUUGCAGAUUUAGUAUAAAGUAUCCAGCCUUUUCCUUCAGUCUCUUCAGUUUACUGUUGAUAUACUGAUUCUCCUACAAGUAGGCAUAGAAGUUCUUUUUGGCUUUUUUAUGUAGUGCAAGCAAGAAAGUUGGCAAUUGAUAACUUGUAUCCGGAUCAUUGACUUGAUGAUUUAACCGGAUCAUUGACUUGAUGAUUUAAGAUAAAUCCUUUUUAUGUCACACUUAAACUGUUGUAAUUUGUAAUGACAAACAUAAAAGGUUUGGAGUCCUAAAAAUAAGCAAUAGUAAAUGAUUUAUUGAUUUUUCAAGAUCUCGCCGGGAUGCUGGCAUGACCAACCACUUUCGCACAAGACAAAAUGUUUAUCUAAUUGAGGCAGUCGUUAUUAAACAUUGGUUGACCAAUUGCCUAGCUUGAAAGAUUAUUUUAUUUGCAAGUGUUGAUGUACUUGAUUGAUUUUCAGUGGCUGCAGUCUCUUCUUUCCCCUACAGCUCCCGGGGCUCUACACGAUGUUUGCAAUAUACUUUGUCUUCUUUUAGGAAAGUAGGACCGAUACCACUUAAAAAUUUGGCAUCUAUUCAAAACAGUCAUCGAAGUUGUAACUCUGCAUUCACUGCAAAAUAGUAUUUUGACAGUUUAAUUGGUGGCGUUCUAACUCCUGGACAAUGCAAUUGUAUGCCGUAUUACCAUAGAGAAAAAACACAAUAUUUGACAAUGGCAUCUUGGAAUGAAGUAGCAGAAGCUUCCCAGCUGUGAAGUUGUAUCUUGGAAUGAAGUAAUUUGUUGCAUGCAAUUUAUCACUCUGUGGCACGAAAACUUCGGACCAUGGUUACCCUGCUUUGAAAGAAUUCUGUUAUUAUCAUAUUACAGCACAAAACCAUCCCAGCAUCCUCAAAUUUGUUUGUAGAAAAUUGUUCCUUGGACAAAUGAAGAUGCAAAUGUGGGCAUUUUAGUCCAUAAAGUUUAUCUAAUAUCUUCAUACGGCCAACAAGAUAGCAACAAUAAGCAUAUUUUCGUAACUGAUUGGGCUAUUUGUGUGCUGUUGUUUGGCUGGGAAAUUCUCCACUCAAAUACCAACUAAUGCUAAUGAAAAUUUUUAUGUUAUUCUGGCAAAUCAGAAUUCAAAUUGGAAAUUUAUUUUCGUAAAAAUUUGAAGAGAUUGGUGAAGGAUGGCUCCUAGUGUUAAACUUACAAGAAUUGCAUUUGCCAGGUGAAGGAUGCCUCCUAAUGUUAAACUCCUAGUGUUAUUCUGGUUUUCUCCACUCUUACUAGAUCCCUUUAUGUGAUUGAACCAGGUGUAUGGCCAGAAUCAAAGAGCUUCAGUGAUGAUGGGUAUGGUCCGAUUCCAGUGAAGUGGAAAGGAACUUGUCAAAAUGGAGAAGAUGAAACAUUUCACUGCAAUAGGUAAUAUUUGUGUCUAUAUCUGUUGCAGCUCUUCUUUUUCUUGUCACUGUUUACAGUUAUUCUGCAUAUGCAUGAAAAGGUUUACAAGUUCAACUAAUAGUCAUGGGUGGUUGAUUAUACUUGUGAAAUAUUCAAGUAUUGGAGGUCGAUGAGAAUAGCAUAUACCUCUACCUUGAUUUUUGGGGCGUGCAGCUAUAUGGACAUAACUCCUAUCAUGGUUUUCUCAAAUUCCUUGAGAAACUUAUUGAAUUUCUGAAACAGUUUUAAUAAUGCUAUGCCUCAAUUUAAGAUUGGGGCUUGAAGAAAGUGUCCUUAACUUUUACCGCUUAGUGGCAGAAGUCACAAUGUCAACUAACAGAGCAGAUAACCAGAUUUAGCGUCCAUACUGCUGUGCAGAUUUAUGCAAUUUAAAGUUUCCUUGUUCUUGUUUUUGUCCUAGAAUUUGUAGAAGUGCCAGGAACUUGUAGAGUUUUGGGAUUGAAAAAAAAAAAACUCAAAUUUUCAACUUCAGAAAGGCUUUUUUGCCCUAACAUGUGACAGACUGAGAAUAUCAUAGGCAUCAGCCUACUUGAGCAUAAGAUAAACUUCUAGAAUGCAUAAGAAACUGAUGUGCUUUAAUUAACACGGUUACCUGUUAUGUCCGAAGGAAACUCAUUGGGGCAAGAUACUUCAACAAAGGAUAUGCUAGUGCUGUAGGAAAGCUCAAUUCCACUUUCAACUCACCACGAGAUGGAGAAGGCCAUGGAUCCCAUACCUUAUCAACAGCUGGUGGCAAUUUUGUAGUUGGAGCAAAUGUAUUUGGAUACGGAAAUGGAACAGCAAAAGGUGGAUCACCAAGAGCUCGAGUCGCAGCUUACAAGGUCUGCUGGCCUCCAGUGUCAAAUAAUGAGUGCUUUGAUGCAGAUAUUUUGGCUGGCAUUGAUAUGGCUAUCCACGAUGGUGUUGAUGUGAUUUCAGUAUCACUUGGAGGAGACCCUGUUCCCUAUUUCAAUGACAGCAUUGCAAUUGGCUCCUUUCAUGCUGUUAAGCAUGGUAUUGUAGUGAUCUGCUCAGCUGGCAAUUCUGGACCUACUCCUGCCUCUGUUUCCAAUGUUGCACCCUGGCAGAUCACAGUUGCCGCAAGCACCAUGGAUCGACACUUUCCGAGUUACGUUGUUCUUGGCAACAAUAUGCGCUUCAGUGUGAGCUUUUUCUUCUUUACUUCCAUUUUCUAGUAUUGGUAAUUUUUAUAGGCCUAUAUAGUAUAAUGCAAUUCCUGUAAUUUUUUUCUCUGUAGGGAGAAAGCCUUUCACAAGAAGCAUUGCCAGAUAAGAAGUUCUUUCCAAUUGUUGCUGCCAAAUCUGUUAAAGCUGCUUAUGCAUCAGAUAAAGACGCGUAAGCAUGGGAUAUCUAUGUUUUAUAACUUGUUCGCAAUUCCAAUGUGCGCUGUGGUUCCCUCAAAGAACUAAUGUGACUACAAUAUUUGGUAUCUGACGCGUCCUUGCAGUGAGCUUUGUAAGGCUGGAACACUAGAUCAUAGUAAAGCAAAGGGGAAGAUCUUGGUCUGCCUGCGGGGAGAUAAUGCAAGGGUUGACAAGGGCCAGCAGGCUGCUGCAGUUGGUGCCGUGGGAAUGGUUCUCACCAAUGAUAAACUUUCUGGGAAUGAAAUUAUUGCCGAUCCUCAUGUUCUUCCUGCAUCACAUAUCAAUUACACUGAUGGACUUGCUGUAUUCUCUUACAUCUAUUCUUCAAGGUAAGAAGACAUCCAAUCAGGAACUUAAACAAUCUCCAUAUUAGUUUGGUAGAAGAUCCAAGCACAGAAUACCAACUAAAAUUAGGAAAAUAAGCUAUUCCAAUGUAACAAUGAACUCUAAACCAAAUAAAGAUGGUUUUUUGUUUCCUUUUCUUUUUUACUUCAAUCAGAAGGUACAUAAUGUUGUUCAAAAGGCUGAAAGCCGGGAUCAUAUUUGUAGUUCACAUAUUCUUUGUUUCUCCAUUUUUUGUUUACUUUGCUGAAUGUUUUAGUAUCUUACAGAUCUCCAAAGGCUUACAUUACACAUCCAACAACUGAAUUAGGCACGAAGCCUGCCCCAUUUAUGGCAGCAUUUUCAUCCAAGGGACCUAACACUCUUACGCCAGAGCUUCUCAAGGUUAUUCUAGAUACUCGGAUGGCUUUUUCUUGUUCAUCUGAUUCUUGAAACUGUGAUAUGAUUUGCAACUCAUUUGUUCUUCACUUAACAAAGUUUCUUCUUUCUGCAACAUCAGCCUGAUAUCACGGCACCAGGAGUCAGUGUGAUUGCUGCUUUCACCGAAGCACAAGGGCCAACAAGUGAAGGUUUUGAUAAGCGUCGAGUUCUCUUUAAUUCAGAGUCAGGCACCUCAAUGUCAUGUCCUCAUGUUUCUGGCAUUGUUGGCCUCCUAAAAACUCUUCAUCCAGAUUGGAGUCCUGCCGCAAUCCAGUCUGCAAUCACGACAAGUGGUAAGACCUCAUCAAAUUAAAACUGCACUGCAAUACAUUCAGAGCAUGCACUUUCCAAGUACAUGCAUUUUAACAUUGCCGUCAAAUUCUAUCGUACAGCAAGAUCAAGGGAUAAUGCUUUUGAGCCAAUAAUAAAUGCAUCUUAUGUCAAGGCUUCACCAUUCAGCUAUGGAGCAGGACAUAUUUGGCCAAACCGUGCAGCGGAUCCUGGACUGGUUUAUGAUCGAACAGCCAAUGAUUACCUGACUUUUCUAUGUUCACUAGGCUACAACGAAAGCCAGAUUGCAUUGUUCACCCAAGCCCCCAAGAAAUGCCCCAAGCCAAUUAGUCUACUAGAUUUGAAUUACCCCUCAAUCACAGUUCCAAAACUUCGUGGUUCAAUCACAGUGACUAGAACUCUGAAGAAUGUAGGUGCUCCGGCAACUUACACUGCCAAAAUUGUCAGCCCUCCUGGAGUUUCGGUCGAUAUUCAACCAAAAUCACUUACAUUUGCAAGAAUUGGUGAAGAGAAAAGCUUCAAACUUACCCUGCAGUUAAAGAAACCAGGUGCAGCCAGAGAUUAUGUGUUUGGGAGGUUGGCAUGGUCUGAUGGGAAACACUUUGUAAGAAGUCCCAUAGUAGUUAAGGCAUCAUACUAAAGAUUUUCUCAAAUUCUUAAGAUACUCUUAUUCAUUUAGCCUACAUUUGAUUGAUCCGCCACUUUCGAACAGUUUUUUUCUUUAAAAUCAAAGAGAGAUAGAAUUAGAUGAUCGUUUCUGACCCUUGAUUUUUUUGCUAUUUCUUGCUUGAGGCAUAUGUGUAAGGACUUUGAUUUCAUUCAAUUGUUAAUAAUGUCAUGGUGAUUUGCAAUUUUACGAGGAUAUGAAGACCCAAGCCCUUAAAUGGUGUAAGCAAUUAAAUUUCUUUUCCUUUGUUCUUACUUUGUAGAUAAUAGAUGAGGCAGUCUCUCAAUUUUCACACAAGUAUUGGACGAAAAUUUGAGUGUUUUGGGCAGUGGAUUUCAACUGAAAAUCCAACAAAAUAAACCAUAUUCCCAAGCAUUCCUCUUGGUUCCACAACUUCGAAAAAGCUCCUCAAAUACUCUCGAUUGUCUUUUCAAAGGUGUUUGAGUUGGAACCACACGCCCCUAUAUUUGUAUCAAGAACUCUUAGUCUCAAAAGAUUUUUGUCACUUGCAGCCAGCAAAAGCAACGAAAUGUUGUAUUGCUUUGUACGAGGAAUACAAAAAAGGAAUAAAAUAAAAAUAAAAGAAGAAGAAAACUCUACAAAAUUUAGUACUUCAUUGGAUCCAACUAAAAGCAUCGAUUUCCAAGAAAUGGAUUUCUUUUCUGCUCGUACAACAAGAUACAAUUCGUGCGCCUUUUCAGUGAAAUUUUUCAACCGUGAUAUGAUUGUAAUUUUGUGCCUUAAACCGACUCGGUAACUUCUUCUUGGAGUGAAAUCACCAAAAGCAAAGCAAGCCUUCAUAUGGAGACCAAAGCCUCAUCUGGAACAGUUAGAUAUAUUCAGUGUCAAACCUCUUCUGAACUCUACAUACGGGUAUGCCAUUGGUUCUUCGCCAUCUUCUACACUCCACCUAUACAUAUCAAAACCACUUCGUAUACACUAUUAGGGAUUAAACUCACACAGAUAUGGUAAAAAAGAGGCCAAAAUUUUGCAUCUAUUGGGCUAAUACCUUUAAACAAAUGACAAAAUUAUGGGAGUGCAUUUCGUUUUCAUAAAAAAACUUGUAUGGAACUUUUGUUUUUCAACCCUCUAAUAUAUCGUGGAUGCUUAUGACACGUAGUGCAUGCAUGAUUUCGCAUCCGUAAAGAAAUAUAUGAAACUAAGAAAAAACUUGAAGUUAAACAAGUAAUAAUUGAUUAUUUAAAGAGUAAUCAUCCUUAGAUUAUUUCGAUUAUUUAAAGAGUAAUCACUUUUAGAUUAUAUACAGUGUCAGUGUAUAGAAAAUUAAUCCUUGUUUCAAAUAUAUACAAUUAAUUACCUGUAGUUUUGUAUAAGGUGGUGGAGGAAAAAUGCGACCUCAACUUUUCCAAGUUCAGAUCCGGGACAACAACGAGACCCCCCACCGAAGGGUGUAAAUUUCUUGCAUGUUUGAUCUUCAUCCUGGAAGGCAUGGCCACUCAUAAUUCUCAGUUCUCAGAUGUAUACAUGCCCUACAAAAGAAGAAGUUUUUUCUUUUUCUUUUUUGUGGGACAUGAACAGGACCAUUUUUUUAUUAUUGAGUCUUAAGAAAUAUAAUAUGGAGUAGCAAUUAAUUACCAGCCAUCUCCAAGGAUUAAAUUGGAAAGCGUUGGCAUGGAUUGAAGGGUCCAAGUGAACUGCGCUAAAAAUAGGUAGGACCUUCCAACCGGCUGGAAUUACAUAAUCUACAGAAACAAAUAUAUGAAAAAAGAGAGUUGAGUGCUGAAAGGAAAGCAUAUGCACAUUGCCAAUAGCUCAUGCAUGCAUAAUUGGGGGGAAAGGAAAAAGCAUUCUCUUGCUUUUGCAGCAGUUGUUUGUUUUUGUAUAUAGGUUCUGGACCAUUAGAAGUGAUCAAUACUGACCUUUGAACUUGACAUCUUUAAGAGCCUUUCGGUGGACAAAUUUCACAAUGUUUCCACUUCUCAGAGCUUCAUUAAUGACCUACAAUCAGUCAAAGUAAUUAAUAAUCUCAACAUAUAUAUAUAUAUUUCAUAGUAAGUAACUAUCAUGGUUUGGACACACUCUUUUUAUUUUUUUUUUCUCUUCUUUUUUUCCCUUAAAUAUGGUUUCCAGCUUCAAAGUGCAUUUUUCUUUAUAAUGAUCUGAAACUCAUUGUAAUUUUAGUCGGGCACAUUUGGUGUGCUUGUAUUUCUUUUAAUUUUUGAUGUACACUUUACAUAUGUAUUUUUCUUGCUUUUUGUGUACAUAAAUAAAAUCCACAAAAUGCAAAAUUCACGCGUACAAGAGAUAAAAUAAGUGUAUAUCAAAAUAUUUAACAAAUACAAUAUUGGUACAUAAUCUGAUCGCACCUGCCACAAUUAUACUUGCCCUGAUUCGAUACUAAUAUAUGCUCCAAUCUGUUUUCAUCUUUUUUUAGCAUUGUUUAAUAAAAAGGUGGCCUUUUCAAAACUGUUCAAGAAGUUAAAAGGGUUGUUAUGGAAGUUUUGAAGGGCAAAAACUAGUAUGGUAAAGCUAGAGGAAAAGGUAGUUUUACUUUUGUAGCUAGCUACAAACGCAUGUAAUGUAAAUAGUCAUCCAGAGCACAUAUAUAAGAGGCUAGAGCGCUUACGUGCUGAGUGAAAACCAUCUUCUUGUAGUCUUCCCAAUUCAGGUAUUCAUCUUUGUCCUUCACUUUCCUUAUGCCCUGGUGCUCUAGCUAUAUGUUUAAUCAUGAGAGCACAAAACUAAAAGCUAUAACCAUAAAAUGUCAAAUGCACGACAACUUUUAUUAAAGACAGGAGUACAAUAAAGUUAAUGCAUGACUUGUCAGUCAAUGCUACCUUUAAUUGUUCAAGUGCAACUUUGGAUUGUGCAAGGAAGUAAACCACCAUGGACGUUAGCAGGAAUGUAGUUUCAUAGCCGCCCAGUAGGGAAUCUAGGACAAAGCUAACUUUUUCAUCUUCAGAUAAGGUAUCAACACAAAGCAGUAUCUCAAGGAAAUCACUCCUUUUACUGCUACAAUUUUCAGCACCAGCAUUUCUCCUUCUUUCUUCUAUUAUUGUUUCGAUAGUUGAAGAGAUUCUACGUCUAGCCUGUAAAGAUGUCACCACAAAAAGGUUGAUCGCAUGUGCAUCUUUUCGCAACAAAAAGCAGAAAACCAAUAUUCAACUAAUAGUAGUAUUAAUUAACGAGAGAGGUUUUCUUUUGCUGUUAUUUGUUGGAUAGAGUAAAGAGAUCAAUGUUGAGGGAUGCGGAGAACCUGAACAGCUCUUGCAUAUGGAGUCCCCGGAAUAUACAGUGGAAACGAGAUCAGCCCUCUCAUGAAAGUAAGAAAAUCUUGCAGAAUCUGUGUAGUUCUUGGCUCAUCUGGUGUUAAACCGAGAACUUGCUUCACUAUUACAUUGAAUGCAAACUGUAAAGAAUACAUACAAAGGAAAGUAGCAAGAUUAGAUUCUCGAAAUUCCUUGGGGUCAAAAAAGGUGGUAGACUGAGCAAUUUCGACAGUGCGAGAUUGUUGAUAUGUACCUUUCUAGCUUCAUCACAGAAGAUGACCUGUUCUUUCUUUUGCCAUGAAUUGAGUACCUGAAUUGCUAUUCUCUCAGCAUCAUUGAGAAACUCAGGUUUGGAUUUGGUGGUGUUCACAAGUGAGAGGGCCACAUUCCUGAGCUUCUUGUGUGUGUCAUUGACAGCAACCAGCAUUGAUACCUUUCCAAGAAUACCGUGGAUGGGUUUUGGGUAGCUACACUGGAAUAAUUUAUCUUCAUUUUGUAGUACGAAAUAGUUGAGUUCUUGGUCACAUGAAACCACCGUGGGGGAGAAGAAUAAAUGGGAUGUAAAAACUUUCCCAUACCUAAAUAUUCCAAGACCAAUCCAACACAAAGUCACGUGUACAUAUAAUUAGGAUGAUGUAAUAACUCAUGAAUCAUGUUAUAAAGAUUCAAGAAUCAUGGUGAAGAUUGUGUUACUUACCUAGAACAGUGUUCUUGAAGAAAAGAUCCAAUUGAGUUGGAAGGAUGAGGCUUCAAAAAGGAAAGGGUUUCUCCAAGUAUUGGCCACCCAAAGGACCCUUGAGGGACAAGGCCUUGCUUCGAGAAUAAAGGCAAGAAAUGAUUCAAAAUUAUCCCAAACAGGACUCCCACCAAACCAAAUAGCAUGAUAAACCAAAACCAUCCUGCCAUGGAGAUCAACCUGACAAGUUUUGUGUUGAAAACCCACAAAUGACGACCUUUAUCUUAUACUACUUGUUGCACCAAACAUGGGCUAGCUCUCACUAUUAUAUAUAAUAUAAGGGAGAAGGAUAGAGCCACAAAGGUGAGAAUGUUCUCCCUCUCCCUCUCCCUCUCCCUCUUUUUCUUCUUUUAUUUUACUUCGCUUUCUUACAAUAAUAAAAGAAAGCAACUAGGCUUUUUACUGUCGGUGAAAUCAAUUUUGGUCAGAAGCAUAGGAAAUGUAAGAAGUAGUCCUGCUAGCCUAGGAUCUAGCUAACUAGGGUUGUACUUAUAAUGAUGCUAGGGGUGCAGGAUAUGGGAAGAGGGAAAGGACGUUUUAGUAGUCAUAUUUUAAUUAGUUCAAAUAUAAGUAAUCGUAUUAACAGAAAGAGAUAGGCUAACAAUAGAUUCACAUGCAAAAGUUCUUCAAGGAUGUUGUUCCUGAUAUCAGCCCAAGGCUUGAACUGUUAAACAAUGCUGACACUGCCUUAUCACCGCGCGCAUGCACACGGGCGGACUAUGCAUCUAUACAUAGAAGAAGUGCCAAUGAAAAACAGGAUAAUUGAAAAGAAAAGAUCAAGGAUACAAGAUUGUCUUGUUCAAUUAUAUACUAUAUGUAUGCUUAGAUAUCAAGAUUUGCUACUAGAGUCAAUAAUUUGUUUAGGGCUGAAUGUUUGGAAAUAUGACAACUUUUUCUCAGAAUCUAGCUAGUAAAAAAUAAUGUUAAUAAAUUCCUCGCUGCGCUCCUGCGAUAACUUCAGGGCCAGGCCUUCACCCUCGAGUAAGAGUCAAACUCUGCGACGCUCCCCGGGCCGAAUCCGGAUUAGUCCGAAAGGAAUACCAGAUGGUUAGACCCAAAAAAAAAAUAAUGUUAAUGACUUAACGCGUCAUCCCAAGUUUUCAUCAUUAGAAGAGCAGCAAAGGUGUAAGUUCGGAAGUGUCAUGCCUAUAUUCUGCAUCCAAAUUUACACUCAUGAAUCCAUAUAAUAUAGGUGUUAAUCAAAGUUUAGUUGGUCCCAUGAACACCCUGAAGUAGAUCAAAUAGUAGAUAACCACCAGACAAGAUGUGCCCUCAGUGCUGGUUACCCAUAAUAACUUGUCUGUAAUAUGGUCAAGUCUUGAUUAGAACCAACGUUAAUUGUCCAUCUUCGCAACAAUUUCAACCUUGCAUGCCCUUUCACUGUUUUCUAAAGAACCAAAUCGAUGUUCCAUCUUUAACACAAACUCUUACUUACCAAUUCAUUUUGUCGAAAAGAAAACCCUUAAUUUAUUUGAUUUCACUUUUUCACCAUCACAAGUGUUAAAUGGUGCGCUAACUUUAUUAGGAACAAGCAGACAAGCUUUCAAACUUUCAAUCUCUUUGCAUGGUUUUUUUGCAUUUCUUUUCUCCCAGUCGUGAUGUUUGUCUUCAAGUAGUUUUCAAAAUAUACAAACAAUAAUCAAGAAACUUUUCCAUUUUUAGUUCAGACACGUUGACAGUUGACUUGGCUAGUCCCAAUAAAAACUCUUGAGGAAAGGGAGACCAUCUUUUCUUUGUCAUUAGCAUACCUAUAUUUCUAACAAUCAACAUGUUAUCAAAUGUUUAAAUCCAUAACAUGGUCAAUCCAUUUCUCUUAAAUUAAGUUGCUGAUACUCAUAGUGGCUACAUGGGAUGUUUGUUGGUUUUAAAGGCUCUCCACUUGCCUGGCUUGAAUACCCUAGUGGCUUACCCUUCUCAAGUGGGUGGAAUUUUUUUAUUUUAAAAAUAAUUAACUUUUUAUACACUGACAGUGUAAUAAUUUUUUUUAUAUUAGCAGUUAUAUUGUAAAUAUAUGCUACAUGUAUAUGAUUUAAAUUUCAAAUUUGAAUUCAUAUUAUGUAGCAUGAUUUAAACCUACUAGUGUAUAAAAAUUUGUAUAUUGACAGUGUAUAAAAAACUUAAAGGGAUUUUUAUACUGAUCAUGCAAGUUAAUUUUAUAAAUAUUUAGGAAGAGAAAUUUCAUUUCUUACCAGGGGAGAAAGGGUUAAGAAAAAGUUUGAGAGUUAAAUUAAAACCUCAUAGUCACCACAUAUUCAUUUAAAGUUUUAAAAUAUCCAUAUAACUCUUUUAUAGUAUUAUUUAAAGUCAAAAAUAGAUAGAAGCAUCUCCAAUUACAAUGAUUGAUUAAGACAAGCUCUAAAAGUAGGUGUAAUGAAAUUAUAAUAUCCACUUAACCCUUCCUAUAUGUUGCAUAAAUAUUCACUCAAUCCUCAUGUAGUUUUCAUCUAUGUGAAUAAUUUUCCUAUGGUUUUAAACAAAUUGGUUAGACCCUUAUUAAAUUUAGUGCUUAAAUAAGAGCAAUACUGGCAUUUCGACCAACGACGGUAUAAGGACUAUUUUUAGUCCAAUUUUCACUUUAUAAAAUUACAAGAAGGUGAUGUUGAUAAAUUAAAAUCUUAGAGAGAUCAUGUGAAAUCCUACAUAAGCAGGGGAGGAUUAUAAGUGACAUACCCUCUUUCCUUCCAAGUGAUUUAAUUUUAGUAAAAUUCCAAGAAUAUGUGUAUCGAUAAGUUUUGAAGGAGCAACUUGAGAGUACAUAACCUCGAAAGAGAAGGGAAAUGGCUGUGUUGGGGGAUUCAAUGGAAAGAAGUAUGAGUGAGUCGAGUUUUCUCACUUACACUUUAAAAAAAAACGGAAAGAGAUGAGUUAUGCGUAAAAACUAGACCCUUGCACAUGCAUGAUUUAAUUAUGACGUUUUUCCUUUUUGAUCUAAUCUUUAUUGGAUGGAUUUUAUGUUGGCUCUUCAUAAAGCUAAAUGUUUUCAACUUUCAAAUAGUCAAAAGUGAAAAAAAAAAAAAAGACCUGUAUGUCGAAGUAAACAAACAAAGAAGAUCGCAGUAUUUUGUAUCGUAAUUAACCGGCUUAGGACCAAACUAUUGAGGGCAGUAAAGUUAGAAGCCUUAAUUGCGACUUUAAUUUUUUAAAACCAAAUGCUUUAUUAGAUAUUCCCAAAUGAAAUCAAAUAUUUUAGAUUUCACAUAUUUCACAUAUUAUUCCCAAAGAUUUCACAUAUAAAUCCACUUAGACUCCAAAACACAUUGAAGAAGAUAUUUUUUUCUUGAAAAGCAAAAAAGAUACCAAAAAAAGGUUUGGUUUCAAGUUGGCUAAACAAAAUUUGCAGGGGAAAGUAAAAAAAAAAAAAAAAAAAUAGGCAACAAGAUAGUAAAAUUUCUUUCCACUUAUUGAAAGUAAGAUUUCUUUAGACAAAGGCAAAAAGUAACACAUUCACUUUAUGACAAAAGAAUACUGAGUUUUCUUUUGGAACAAAAAGAGCAUAACAAAAUGAACAAAGGAGUAUCUUGUCUUUUCCAAUUAAAUCGUGUUCCCUUAAAACCCCCACCUCCGUUUUUCCCCGCCACCAAUCAUCAAUUCUUCUCAAAUGGUACUUGAUUAGUACUUGGCAUCCCACUCACAAGGCCGGUGGAAUGUGGAAAGGCUCAUUGCAGCUUCUUUUGACCAGAAAGAUGGAUAUAGAAAAAAAAUUCUUUCUCCCAAAAUAAACGGAAAGAAACAGUAAUAAAAUUCAUACUCAAAUGUUUUAGGAUGAAGGGGCUAGCAAAUCUUCUUUUGCCUACGUACUCAUUUCUUGUUCUUAUUUAAUUAAUCAUAGAUUAAAAGGUUCUUAAGUUUGCUUAGUUCUUUAGUUAUAUAGUGUUGCGUGCAUAAAAGAAAAUCGCUGCAGGCCUAUGGUAUUUUAUUGGUAGGCCAUCAAUGUAUUAUUAUCCCUAAAAACCCACGAUUUCAAGGGAUUUGCAAGGUAGUCAAGAUGCAUGAUUUUAAAAAUUCAAUGCCGAAAAAGUUCACUUUUGCGUGGAUCAUGUGUGCAUGUAGGUGGUGCAGGUUGGUAAGAUUAUUGUAUAUAACUCAUUAGAAUUUUUAUUUUUUUUUUUAAUUUCAUUUGUGUUGUUACAAAAACCAGCGAGUGUUUUUAGUGAUGAAAAAAAUUUUCAGAGAUUAGUCUAACAGUUCCCUUUUCCUUUAACAGUCUAGGAGAUGAAAGAAAAGGAAAUUAAAAAGGAAUGAAAAGCAAAAUUUUCUCAUGUAAGUUUUGGCUCUGUUUGGAUUGAAAAUUAUUUGAGAUAUUUUUACUAUAGCACUUUUUAUGAUAUGAUGUAUGUGAAAUAAAAAGUUAAUUAAAAAAAUAAAAAGAUAUGUUAAAAAUUAUAAUGAUGAUAUAAGUAAAUAAAUUUUGAUAAAUAAUCCUCUAUCCAAACAAACCCUUUGAACAAAGAGAAUAUUAGGGCGGUUCAUGGAGCAAAAUGUAUAGUGUACAGGGCGUGUGGAAUGGGGAUAAAGUAAGGAGAGCAGCAAGAAUUUUGGCUUGGGUACGGUUAUCAAGAAUUGGGAUAUCCCAGAUAAACCAGUCUACAAGGUCUUUGGAGAGCUGUUCAGCAACCUUUAUUGAAUCAUUAAUGGUCCAUAUCUUAAGAUAUAGUCACUAAAGUCCUUGGAUACGUGGGUAUUUACAAUGUAGCAUGGAAGCUGCGGAGGAGAGGCAUAUUUUUAAAGCGAAAAGUUUAAAAAAUUUGAGAAAUGUUUUGAAGUUAUUGUAAUAAAAGUUGUUAAAAAAAUAUGUAGCAAAUAAAUUUAACUAAAAAUUUACUUGCCAAACAAUGCCUAUAUUUUGGUCUACGUGUUCAUAUUCAUUUCAAUAGUUCAUUAUGAACAUUGUUGAGCACAUAAGCCACCCUCUGAUUAAUCACGCUGGGCAUUAGGCCCUGUUGGAAUUGGAAUUUCUAGGGGGUUUUUGUAAAAAUAAAAACGUGUACAGAAUUAAUGAUCAAAAUCUUUUAGUAUAUAAAAAAAAUUAUAUACUGACAUUUGCACCGUUUGACAAAUGAGUUUUUUGGGUGUUUGUCUAAAAUUUUACUGUAACUUACUGUAAAAGUUUUUUAAAAAAAUUUUGAAGUGUGUUUUUUUAAAAAAUAUUUUGAAGUGUAUAAUUUAAAAAUCAAACUUUAAGAAGUUUUUUUAAAUUAACUAAGGCCCUGUUUGGAAGCUUGAUUUUUUACCAAGUUUAUAUAAAACUAGUUUUUUAACAACUUUUACUACAGGAACCUCAAAAAACUUAUCAAAAGUUUUUAACUUACGCAUUUAAAAUAUUCAAAACACAACAAAAAAAAAUUCCCUUCCCCUUUUCUUCUUCUUCCUCCCCCACUACCACCUCCAUUGUCGGCUCCGUCACCAAUUUCCGGUGCCGGACAAGAAUUUUUUUUCCCCUUUUUUUCCCUCUCCCUCUCUUCCUCCCCUGGCAUCAUCCUCUCUUGUCUUUUUUUUUUUUUUCUCUCUACGUUCGGCGCAGAGGGGGGUGGCACAGAGGGGGGCGGCGAGGAGGGCAGAGGGGCAGCGAGGAGGGCAAAGGGGGGAAGGGGCGACGGGGGGAGGGGGAAGAGGCAGAGGGGGCGGCACAGAGGGGGAUGGCGGGGGAGAGAGGGAAGGCGGGAGAAGGGGGCGGCGCAGAGGGGGGCGGCGGGACAGAGGGUGGCGGAGGGGGGAGGGGGAAGGCGGGGCAGCGGGGAGGUGGAGUUGCUGUUAGGGGUGCGGAGGUGACGGAGAAGAAGAAGAAGAAAAAGAAAAAGAGAGGAAAGAAAAGAAAAAGGAAAGAAAGAAAAAGAAAGGGAAAGAGAAAAAAAAAAGGAAAAAAAAAGUUUUUUACCUUACAAAAAUUUCUACAAAAUUUUUUCAAAAACUUCUACAGUGUACUACAGUAAAAUUUUAGACAAACUCCCAAAAACCUCAUGUUCCAAACAGGCCGUAAAAUUUUUAAAAAAUUUAUUACAAAUAAAUUUCACAAAAAACUUGUCCGUCAAACAAGGUCUUAUAUAAAAAGAAAUUAUCGAUUCCUAUGUACAAAAUUAUAUAUACUUCUGGCGUACAAAAGUAGUCCUGGAAUAUCCUGCAGGUCGUUUGACCUGCCAGUCGCGUGUCUUAAAUGUCACUCGUUCAAAUAAAAAAUUCCAGGACAAGAUCCGAGCAUGGGGAUUCAUCCAGUCACAUCAUAUCAUAUCACGAAUCUUUGUUUCACAUAUUUGUAGGGAAGCGGAAGAGGUUUUAUUUAUUUAUUGCUGAUAUAUGGCACUCCAAUAGUAUUAGGGGUAAUUCUUAACUGUCAAAAUAUUCUUGCGGAUGAAAACUAAAAAACUAUCAAUUUCACUUGUUUCUACUAAUCAUUUUCACAUACAACUUCGCAUGCAAAUGAUACUUUGUCUGACUUACUUUUUGGUCAUUUCUACAAAUUUGUGAGUCUUGAUGCCCCAAAUUCACUAUAUAUAUAUAUAUAUAUAUAUAUUUGGAUUUUCCAUGAAUUCACUAAGUUAAUAAAAUUGAAGGCAUAUAGAAAUUUCCCAUUUAUAUAUAAGGGAUAAUUUCGCAAACCUUCCAUGAGAUAACAAUUUACUUCUAUUUGUACCAAUUUGUUGUCCUUUAUAUAAAUACUACUAGAGUAGCAAUCAAGACCAAAAUAAACCUAACAGGCAAAGUAUCAAUUGGGAGAGAUGUAAGUACAACAAAAAGAAGUUGCAGUAAAUAAAUAGUUUUACAAUUGUGCAGUGACUGGUACUCUAACAACUCUUGGAUUAUAAAUGUAGUAAGAUAAACAAAACAAGAAACACAAGUUUAAUGGCAAAAGGAGCAACUUAAAUCGGGAAUUACUAGUAUAAUAUAUUGUAACAAAUCAUAACAAGUUAUAAUAUUAAAAAAAAAACUCUUAUAAUUCGUCAACAUCACUUAAUACAAAGAAUUGAUAUUAUGGUUACGAUAGAAAUGCAACAAUCAAGAUUUCAGAUAGCGAAAAAAAUCCGGAUAAGCUAUAUUUGCUUCAGAUGUCCGUUGCAAUGCCCAUUUUCAUGUUGCUACAGUUAGGGGAAAAAAAAGUCAUCAUUAUAAAUGGUAGUUUUAUUAAUUAUUAUCCUAAUUUUUUUACUUUCCAAGUUUCUUUUAAUGUGCGAAUUUUAGUUAAUCAAUUAGGGAUUUUUAGUAGGGUAAUAUCAUCAACUUAUCACCAAUGCUGAAGACAUCUUAUCUUGUAAAACUUAAUAAUAGUAGUGUUUGGAUACCAAAAUUAUUCCAAAUAAUAUUUUGCUUGCAUCACAAACACAUUUCCCAACCUACCUUUUUAUAUUUUCAAUCACCUUUUUAUCUCACAUACAUCAUAUCACAAAAAGUGUUACAGUAAUUAUUUCAAAUAAUACACUAUCCAAACAAACCCGUCACGAGAGAUGCUUGAAAUUAUCCCUAUAUACUACACUCUUCUCCCUGGCUACGUUUCUUCUGCAACUUUUGAGUCUGUGUCGAUGGAGAAAUUGGGCACUGCAAUGGGCCAAAAGGGAACAGUAGUCAAAGCCUUAAAGAUGGAAACGUGAAGUUGGUCCAACUGACACACCCUCGUGCUGUCUCGACGAUCGUGUUCAAGAGAUGAUGAAAUGAUAGCAUCACUUUCAUUGGCAUCACAUUCCCCAUUCGGACAAAGGUUCAUCCGACAAUUCAAUAAUACUUGACUGGAUAUGACGCUGUUCUUCUUUUUCUUUUCUUUCUUUCCUUCUUUCUUGAAACUUUGGAUUCUCCAUUCUUCGAUCAAAUUUAUUUAAGAGCUUUUGCGUAUUUGCUAUUUCACAUUUACAUUUAUACAUCUUUACAAAUGAUAACUUUCACUUUUGAAAACAAAUUAACACCCAAACUCUCUUGCGCGCACUUGUGAGCUAAACCCUUUUAGUGUAAUGACUUAGGUACAAGUGUUGAGUUGUAGAUGAAAGAUAUUUGGUAUCGUUCUUCCCGUUGUACCUUGUCAAAUGAACGAUAAAGCUCUCCAACUUCACAAAAUAUGUUUAUGGGCUUGUCAAGAAUUCUGCUAUUAAUUCUAUUUUAUGCAAUCAUAUCCUGUACUUAAAACUUCCAAACUUCCGUAUCCAAGAGUGGGCACUAGAUAAAUCCUAUUCCGUGCAAUAACAUCUCAACCACACACGGAGGGUUAAGAUGUACUAGGCAAAUUCUGUACAAUGGAAUCCGAAUUGGUAGAAAAACGUAACAUCAACUCUAUCAUCUCGACUAACUCAAAGGACAUGCGUCCCUACCCUUACCUUCUUAAUAGCAUUUCCUUGCAAAAUCUCAGGACAUUUUUCUGUAAUUUUUCUUGGUUCUUAUGGGUUAAUGUCCUAAUGACACACAAUAAGAAGUACAUCCAAUGUUAAUUUUCUGUAGAGUAUUUAAACUUUUCCCACAAAAAUGUUGCAAUUCAUGGAAUAAAUUCCCCAAUUCAUGGCUGGUGGAUGAAUUCAAAACUUUGAUAGUUAGGCCAUUGUUUUCGGGUGUGCUUAUCGUGGGGCACCAAAAUUGAAAGAAACCUAACCAAUUUUGGACUACUCAUUUAAUAAGUUCCGACAACGCACUAGUACGUGAGAUCUAACAAAGUACUAGUAUCAUUUUUCAGAAGAAUAACUGGAGAGCACAUUAAUUGUUUGAAAAAUAUUUUUGACUGCACCAUAAUUAUGUUUUGGAAUCGCAUUUUGAUCGUUCAAAUCAUCUCUUUAUCUUACAUACAUCACAUCAUAAGAAUGUUACGCUGUGAUUCAAAAGAGAUAAUCGUAUUUAAAUCCAUUUUACAAUUCUCAAACAUCAAACCAACUGACCCAUUGGAAUUUGGUAAGGGUUUUGGACCAUUUGGUUAUGGAAAUUUUGGUUUUUUUUUUUGGGGAUGGGGGGGGGGUGGUUUUAGUACCUAGCUUGCAUAAAAUUUGUUUUUAUAUUGAAUUGAAUUGAUACUUUAAGUACUGGUAUCAUUCCCAGGUUUCCCAAUAGGUAAUGAUAAUCAUGAUGCGAUUCCAUUGAAAGAGAACAAUAAAAUGAUCAAAUUUGUUCCCUUCAAGGGAGUGAAGUCAAAAGUGGCCUGGGAUUCCAUUUGCGGUGACUUACAGGAAUUAAUAAAUCCUAUGACCAUAGGCAUGGAAUGCCAAUGGACCACAUUCAAAGUGUUCAUUAGUCCAGCUACGAAAUAAUAAUGGGGCAUAAAUACAUGAGCCAUAUAUAGAUAAUAAUAAUAAUAAUAGAUGGUCCUAAAAUUCUUUCUUCCGUUGUGGAUGCCAGACGGUUCAGCUACAAAUGUUUGAAUCAACCGUCAAACAAUCCAUCAUUGCUGCAAUUCCAACAUUCAUGCAAGUCAUUUGGAGAGGGAGCGCAGUUAAGUGACAGAUUUCGAGUUCGAAUUCUUCUAUUUAUAUUAAAAAAUUAUUUUUUAAAAAAUGCAAGUCAUUUCAUAAUUACUCAUGGCCAAUGCCAACUAAAUUAAUUAAGCCCCAACUGCUUAAUAUAAAUAUAUAUUGUAUGUUAUCUCAUACAAACUCCUUUUUCUGUGGAAUCUGCUUUAAUGCUGCGUGGUAGGUAAUAUGUUCAAUACAUGGUGGAAAUUGAAAAUAAAACGAGUAUUAUUAGAAUAGGAAAAUAAUUAAUUACACAACUACGACUAAGCGACGAUUAUUAUGAAUAUAUAAGAUUAGAUACUGGUUCCACUUUUCAUUUGCCUGUUUUUCCUAUAUGCUUAUAAGAUUAGAUAAUGCCGCCUUUGUUUGGAUUGUAAUUUUUUAUCAAAAAAAAUUUUAGAUUUUUCAUCAACGCAUUUUCGCAAUUUUCACCUAGUCGUGCCUAGUCAAAUUGUACGACAAUAAUUGAUGAUGAGAGUGGUACAAAGGACCACAUUAAUUUUUCUUCAUACAAUUACAGUCAAAAAUCCAAAAUAAUGUUCCAAAACUGAUAAGGUUACAUCAUUUUCACAAAGGAAAAUGGUGGCAUUGACGUCCGAAUGAAAUGAAAGUGAGAAUGUGAAUGAAUGCACGUGCAAGCAUGUGGUCCAAUACAGGGAAUCAAUCGCGAACCAUGGGACAAACUACCGAGACUGACUGGGCGUCAACUCUGUUCGAAUAGAUUGAUGGUUUGACGAUUAAAAGCUAGAAAAGGAAAGGAAGAGAAUCAAAGAAAAAGCCCUCUUGAGCCUUUCCCUCAAGCUCCGUUCGAAUCGAAGGAAAUUGUGAGGAAAAGUGAGGUAAAAGAAAAUGAAAAUGAAUUUCUCACACCGGCUUGGUUACUCAGGGUGCAUAUGAUAAAAUUUAAAUUUAAAAACUGAAGUUCGAAAUAUGAAAUUAAUACAUUUGAGUGUAUAUCACAUUUAAUGAUAAGUGAAUAGUUUAUCACUUAAUUUUAAAAAUAAGUUAUGCCUAAGAAAUUUAGUGACAUUUAAUUAAUUCACAUGUUCUAUUUUUUGGUUAUCAAACGAUCUGAAUAUAUUAAGAUAUCCGAAUUCAUUAAAUUGAAGUGCUAAAUUGUGUUAUGAAACCGGGUUUAGGGCAAGUAUCAUCAAAAGAAUAGAGGAAGUUAAUGAUAGUCAAUACUUGUUAUUGAAACUUUUGUAAGUAAUUAACUACUUUUCAUUUUGGGAUUCCACUAUACUUGAUUUUCAUUUUUACGCUUAAGGGGAAAAAAAGAAAAGAAAAGAAAAGGGAAACUCAACUAAAAAGUUGAAGUGGGGAGCAUAUUAUUUUCUCAGCCCAAUUGAAAUGCAGCGAGUAAGGAGGUAGAUUCAGCCUCAAAGUCUCUCGCCCAGUUCAACAUCAUGCAAAUUCGAAACCCAAAGCCCGUUCCAUUUCAAGUCAAUCCAGAUAAGCUCCAAAUUUUUGAGAAAACUCAUGUACAGAACUCGAGACUUGGAGCUCGUCCAACUCAACUCCUCUAAUAUUACGUCAAGUCAAACUCGAGCACGUAUUUCCCUAAUCUAUCAAGUUUGAUAUCAAUUAAACAUAUUCAAAUUCGAGUUCGAGCACGAUAAUUACACCCCUAUAACUAUUCAGAUUUUAGAACUUGGGUGAGGUUCACAAGGCUUUAUUGACUCUCUGUAAAUAUGUCUUUUCACAAAACUCGAGUUGAAACUCGUUCAACCACUAAUUUGAUUUCUCCUACGUUGAUUCUACUUUGUCAAGUUUGAUCUCAAAUAAACACAUUCAAAUCUCUCUUUCCCUUUUUUGCUUCUUGAAUUCCAUCUUCUUCCUAUUAAAAAUAAAAUACAUUCAAAUUCCGACUGAGUAUAGAUAGCAUUAUUCGCAUGCAACAAGGCUCAUUUGCACCCUUACAAGGCUAGAACCGCCCAGAUUGUAAAACUUGGGCCAGGCCUUCUUGACUCCCUGUAAACAGGCCCUCCCUAUAUUUUAGGAGGAUCCUUCGCUGUUUAGAACAUUGCCAGCAAAGCAGACCAUCCCAACCCGUUUUCUCCAAUCCGGAAACGUGCUUAAAAUGUAUAUUCAAUACCUUUCUAAGCAAUUUUUUUAACCUCUCUGUAUAAAAGAAAGAAGGGAAGAGGGAGAAGGAGGGGCGACCGCGUUUGAUCUUCACGACGUCGUUUAUCCUCUCUCGCUCCUCCUUUCUCCUUUCAAUUGAUUUGCCUCCUUAUAUGAUAGUAUAUAUAUAUAAAUUAAUUGGAUUAAGAUUUCUUAUUUGAUUAUAAGGAGAAUUCAUUUCCUGGAGAGAUCUCUUAUUUCUCGUCUCUUCCUUUCACGUUAAGUAUUCUGAGCAAGAAACCAUGUCGUACGCCUAUCUAUUCAAGUACAUCAUCAUCGGAGAUACUGGUAAAUUCCUGUCGUUUCAACCGCAAUAUUCAUUUGCCUGAUGUUUUUUCCAGCUUUUCUUUGGCGAAUUUUAUUGAAUUUUGUUAUGUUAGAUGUUUUGAUCAUGAGUUGAACCAAUUUCUCAUGCGAUUUGGUCAUGGAUGGUGUUAAUUUCAUUUUUUGAAGAAAUUAUUGCUAAAAUUUAAUUUCAAUGGCGGAUGUCUAGUAGCUUUUGUGGGAAUACAAUGGUAUUGCUGAAGCUAUUCGUGUUUAUUGUUUUGUUUUAAUUUACGGAACAGUAUUUGCUUUUCCUAAUUAGUAUUUCAAUCGCUGUGAAUUAAAGUUUAGCAAUUGAUUAUGGAUCUAGCUCGAUUUGUUGAUGUUAUUUGUUCUUUUGUCAUUCAACUCGGAUCCAUGGCAGUGUUGUUUGCAUCUGAUUUGCGGGUAUGAUAGGAGGACUAGACUUGUUCUUUUAUAGGCUGAAUUUAGGAGAGAUUUCUGGGUUAGAGCUGGUAAAGAGUUGUGGUCAUUUAUCUAGUCUGGUGGAGCAAGAGUUUCAGAAUGGCGAUUGUGUUUAAAGGUUACCAAAAAUGUCCAAGCCAUGGCAGUCUUAAGCCAUGUAAUUUUGGUAGGAUUUGAAGUAUCCAAUAGUUGAUGCUGGAAGUGUUUAAUAAUGGUUCGCAUAAGAUUAAAAAAAAAAAAGGAUUUUUUUGGAAAAGGUUAAGAAGCUAAGGUGAUUGUUGACACUUACCAUUGCUGUGUGCACAGAAUGGUAGGACAUUUAGUCAUUUUGUUGGCAAAAAAAAAAGUGAUUAUCAUGCUACUUCUAUCUCUGUCACACCAUAAGCUAAUUUUAUGAUUUUAGAGCAACCAUUUCUGGAAAUUCGGUAAUGGCUUAAACAUUUUGAUGUCGUGUAUAGCUGUAAAGAAUCGAGAUGAGAUUCUCCUCUCUUGUGUGGGCUUCAGUUCUGUGGAUUCUGAAAAGGUUAUGGUUUCUAAUUCCCAACGGCUUGUCCCUACUUAUGAUGGUACAGGUUUGAUGCAACUUUUGCAUUCACCUUUUGCUAUGGGUUUGGGGCACGUUUUUCAAUCUGUACGAGCUAGUAUAUCUGACGUUAUCACUUAUUAAAGCUCUUUUUUUUUUUUUUGGAAGCUACCAAAAGAACUUUUAAUCUUCCCUUUUUUAGAAAGAUCACUUUUAGAAAGAUUAGAUUGAAAGAUCACUUAUUAAAGCUCUUUUUUUUGGAAGCUACCAAAAAGAAUGUAAUCUCUUUAUAUAUAUAUAUAUAUAUAUAUAUAUAUAUAUUUCGCAGGGAGUAGACUGGUUGGUUGUAGGAUUUAGAGGAAUUAAUAAAUAGAAAUUAUUCUCAAAUGUGGUUCGGCUGAUGGUUUAGAAAGAAUUGGACUCUGAUUUCACCAAUCAUUUUUCACUAACUGAUGCGUGAGACAAUCUAGAUCAUCUGGUAAAACAUUUAAUAUUAUUCAGAACAUAAAAGGUUUAUGUCAUUUGAUUAUUUACAUCACUGGACAGAAUGAUGUCUAUUGGGUUGUCGUUACAUACUUGAACCUUAUGACAUGUUUGAUUUAUGGCCUACAUUUGUGUGGCAGGAGUCGGAAAGUCAUGUCUUCUGCUGCAGUUUACAGACAAAAGAUUUCAGCCUGUUCAUGACUUAACAAUUGGAGUUGAGUUUGGUGCCAGAAUGAUCACAAUUGACAACAAGCCAAUAAAACUACAGAUCUGGGACACGGUGUGUAAGAGCUAUUGAUGUUUCUCUUUGUUUUCUUUCUCAAUUUUCUUUUGUUAAUUUGAAUCAUCUCCUGAAAACUCCCAAGUUUAUAACUACUCAUGUUAUAACGCAGGUAAAUUUUCAAAACUAUAAAUAGAUACAAAAGGGAAUCAUUGAAUUUAAUUGACAAUUGCCUUUGCAUGAUAUUUUCUAUUGUCAGGCUGGUCAAGAAUCAUUCAGGUCGAUUACAAGGUCUUACUACAGAGGUGCUGCUGGGGCUCUGCUUGUUUAUGACAUUACACGGUAUACUUCUGUCUUGACAUUUUAAAGUCACCACUGAAGGCUGAUUCAGUAUUCCUCUUAAUGUUUGCCUUUUGACAUUAAAUGGGACCCAAGAGGAUUAUAAUAUGUUUUGAAUGAAAAGCAGCGCAAAUUAAACUGGUAGCCUUUUUAUGUGUUGAGUUUUAUAUUGUCCAGAUUUCACCAUAUGAUUCCAUGAGAUUGGCAUAUUGUCUAAGAAGGCAAUAUCUUGGACAAAGAGUCCAUUGUACUAAUGCUGGAUUGUAUUGGGUAACUUUAUAAGUGUUUAUUAAUGGAUAUGAAGAAAAAUAAGGAUCAUGUAGAGUUCCACAAAACUGGGCAGCAAAACUACUUUUAGUCAUAGUCAUAUCUAUGCAGGUAUAGAAUUUUCCCGUCCGUUUCUUAGAAAGAUUACAUUCUUUUAAACUUCACUGUUUGUUCUGAAUCUAUUCGAUGUUACCUUUUAAUUGAAGAUAUGAUUGUUUCUUCCGUUAUCUGGAUUCUUUUGUCUUGCUUGGAUCUUAUCAUCCUAGAAUUUUAAUUCCUGACGACAAAGAAUAAUUUGAUUUUUGAACUACUCAGGAGGGAAACUUUUAACCACCUUGCCAGUUGGUUGGAGGAUGCCAGGCAACAUGCAAAUGCUAACAUGACCAUAAUGCUCAUAGGCAAUAAAUGUGAUUUGUCUCAUAGAAGGGCCGUGAGCACUGAGGAGGGCGAGCAAUUUGCCAAAGAGAAUGGCUUGAUAUUCAUGGAGUGCUCUGCAAAAACUGCUCAGAAUGUUGAAGAGGUGCUUUAAAAUCUUUUUUAUCAGUAAUUAAUGACUCGCAAACAACUUUCUGAAGUAGGUGACAACCUAUGUUUUUAUAAUGAUUGGGUAUCCGCUCUUGUAUUUGUACUGAGAUUUUUACCCUUACCAGGCAUUUAUAAGCACUGCUUCAACCAUCUACAGGAAGAUUCAGGAUGGAGUUUUUGAUGUGUCAAAUGAGGUAUGCUAUUCCCUAUUUUUUUUUCCUGCAUAAUGCAUGGUGGAUCAAAUUUUUUACAGUGUCCAAUGUGCUUUCUGAUUAAAAAAUAAGGCUUAGGAUUCUAGUAGAAAGCAGUCAAUUGCUUAUUAAUGCACGAGUCGCGUAACCGGUUGGCAUCCCGAUAUAUAAAGCAAGAUGGAGAAGCUUUUGUACUUAGCAUAUUCAACUGAUGCAUUUUAUUUUUGGUGAAUGCUUAAUUAGCGUAAAUUCUUCCGCUUUGUGGUACACGAGUAGUAGAGGACCUUUUGAAAGCUACCAUUCGCGAGGCUCAGCUCCCUUGCUAUUCUUAUAUCAUCCUGUUUGAAGAUUUCCAGAGAUCUGAGUUAGAAGUUGAAUACAAAAAAAAUAAUUUCUUAUUUGUGGUGGUUGCUUUUCUCUGACCAUGGAACAUGGUUUUCUGCUUUAGGGAUACACCCCUAAUUUUUCUGGUUUUAUGGUUUCUUUUGCAGUCUUAUGGAAUCAAAGUCGGAUAUGGUGGCAUCCCAGGGCCAUCAGGAGGAAGAGAUGGCGCAGCUGCUCAAGGAGGUGGCUGUUGUAGUUGAAAAGGGAAAUGGUCACUAAUCAUGUUUUAUGGUUUUUUAUUGUUGGGUUUAUAGGUUCCAAAAGUUCAAUUGUCCGUCUGCUUACUUGCUGUUUUUCGUUUUUUUCUCUGGAAUUUGUUGUCUAAAUCUAUGAAAUAUGGGAAGAUAAUAAGUUUAAGGAAUUGGUUGGUAUAUAGGAAAUUGUUUGUUCUUGUGGAAAUUUAAGUCCCAACUUUGUAAAAGUGGAAGCUUAACUCAGUUGUGAAUAGAGUUAUGUUGUUUUCCAAAGCUUAUGUGUGAUUUCAUAUCCUGUUUCCCUGUAUCCGUCUCGGUUUAUCAUAUUAUGGUUGUCUGCUACUGGGACUAGUUAGUCGGAAUUCGCCGUAUCUGUGAAUUAACCAAUCAAGAAUUAAUAUUCAGGAAAGAAUUUCUGUGCCAAAGUGGAGUGCAGUAAUUUCGUAUUGAGUCGGUAUGUGCCCCGCCUGGAAUGUAUAAUUGGAAUGUUGAACAACAGCUUUGCUCCCAGAGAACUGAGCAAGAAAAUGGAUGCUGUGUUAGGAUAAUUUUUGAUAAAUGAAACACCUCACACAUACGGAUUAUGGAUGAUCGUUAGUGUGUAACUUCAUUGACUACGGACAGCCAUACGUUACUUAAUCAGGAGAAGCAUCGUAUUAAUGGAGUAACUGAGUAAUACUACUACUUGUAAUCUCAUUUUGCUAAUUUUGUUUUGAACAAAAAGGUCAACUGAAUUAGUGUGUAUUACUCUUUCUUGUCAGACUACAAGACACUGCAAUGAGUGCGUUUCUGGAAUCAUCUUACAGUUGUUGACCUAAGAGUUAAUUUGUCAUGAUUCAUUGAAUCUUUCGCUGGGAAAAAUGAUUCUUCUCCAAUGCAAAAUUAAAAAGCCCAGCGUUUAGCACGAGUAUUGAUGAGUUUCAUUUUUCAGAUCUCCCCUUCGUGUGAGCCACCUGAUAUUAUUGAAAAAAUAAAAAUAAAAGGAUGAAUUAAAAAAGGUUAAAAAAUUAUACCAACACAAUUAAAAUGUAAUAUCUGUCUAAUAAUAGAUUGAAAUAUGAUGGAAUGUGUAUAUCAUUCAAAAAUUGCCUUUUUUUGGAAGAUAGAUUCUAAAAAAAUAAUAGAAAUUUAUAUUAGAAAAUGAAUGAUAUAUGAAUAAAAAUGAAUGUAAUUAAAUGUUGUUAAAAUGAAAUACUUACAAAUAUUAUGCAUUCGAUUUGAUAAUCUUGCAUGAAGGUGCGAACAUCAAUCAACUUUUAGUACGAAUGCCAAAAUUGGUGAUUUAAUUAAUUCUAUUGAAUUUUGUGGAGUGCGUACUACAAAUGAAAAUGUACGAUCUUUAUAUGAAUUGAUUCGUUGGUUAAACAACCUAUCACCAUUGUCCUGAGAAAUUAAGUACGUGCGAAAUUCAAAAUUAGUGGAGCAACCUACCAUCGUUAUUAAAAAAAAUGAUAGGUGGUAACAAAUGGACAAAAUAAGAACAAAUCUUUUAAAUAUUCGGUAUUUUGAUGUGUUAUUAUUCUUUUGUAGUCGUGAUUUUUUAGAGUUGUAAGAUUAAAUAAUAUUAUUGAUUUGAAAAUGUUGUAUUGUUCGAUUUGCAAGUCUAUUUUGUAUUCAAGAUAUUUUAGAGUUGUAAAAUUAAACAAUAUUAUUAAUUUGAAAAAUAUUAUAAUUUAUGUUUUGCAAGUCUAUUUUAUGUUAAUGAUUUUUUAGAUUUGUAAGAUUAAAUGAUAUUAUUGAUUUGAUAAAUUUUGUAUUUUUUGAUUUGCAAGUCUAUUUCGUAUUAAUGAUUUGGUAGAGUUGUAAAAUUAAAUAAAAUUAUUCAAUUUAAAACUAUUAUUUUUUUGGAUUUGUCAAUCUAAAUAUUUUUCUUUUUCUUUUUCUUUUUCUUGGAAGAAGGAUAUAUUACCUUGUAAAUCUGACCCUAUGUUAUAGAUUAACCGGUCACUAAGUAACCAUUCGAAUUGAAGAAGGGUAUGAUUAGCUAAAUUAGAAAUGAAUUGAUUAUUUGAUCCAUGAGCACACUUAAUUUGUGUACUUAAGAUCAUAUUUAAAAAAAUAUUAAAUAUAAUUACAUGAGAAAGGUAUGAGAACAUUACCAAUUUGUUCUGCUGUAACUAUGUUAGCAGGCACAGCGUGCCAGUGGCAUCUAGACCUAAUUUUUUUGGGAUCAAAAUCUAGUCCUAAUUGGUUCUACUGUUUCUUGAUAAUGUUGUAUGCUUCCGAAUUAAAAUUGUAUUAAAAUAGCAUGUGAAUGAGCAUUUGUCUUUAAUUAAGCAGUAAAAAGGAUUUAAAGUAUAAAUAACAAACUAUAAACGGUUUAUGAAGUAGAUAGUGAGAAUGUUUUAAAUUUUAAAUUUGAUUAGUGAUAGGGUUGGUUAUAACCUACUACUUUUUAUGUAUUAAAAUAAAUAAAAAAUAUAGAAAAAAGAAUGAGAAAUUUGGAAGCUAUUGAGAGAGUCUCUGCUAAAAACUCCUUACUUUUUUUGUAUUAAAAUAAAUAUAAAAAUCUAUAACCCACUACUUGUUCCGUUUUUGAGAUUUUUUUAGGGUUAAAUAUAGUAAGCCCAUUAAUUUUACAUUUAGCUGCACUUUACCCCCUCAACUUUACAUUUAGUUGCACAUUUGUGAUUUUUUUGAAACGUGAUUGUAAUUUGCAAAGUUCAUUUGUAGGGAUAGUUAUAGGGUUAGUUUGGUGAUAAAUAUUUCUUAAUUAUAAAAAUGUAACAUUGUAUUAAAAUUGCAUACAAAUGAACAUUUGUCUUUAAUUAAGGAAUAAAAAGGAUUUAAAGUAUAACUAACAAACUAUAAAUAGUUUAUGAAGUAGAUAGUAGGAAUGUUUUAAAUUUUAAAUUUGAUUAGUGAUAGGGUUGAUUAUAACCCACUACUUUUUAUGUAUUAAAAUAAAUACAAAAAUUUAGAAAAAAGAAUGAGAAGUUUGGAAGUUAUUGAGAUAGUCUCUGCUAAAAACCCCUUCUGCAAUAUAUAUAAAUAUAGAUCCUACAAUAUGAAUCAAGUUUUUUUUUUUUUUUUUUUGUUUUAGGUGUGUUCCGCAGGGAGUGGACCCCGCAGACUAUUCACCACCCUCAGCAACUUGCUGGCAGCAAGGUUCGAACCAGGGACCUGAGACUCCAUCUUCAACAAUUUCAACCACCAAACCAAGCCCCUGAGGGCAUAUGAAUCAAGUUACUGUCAAACAGUGUUAACAAAAUUUUGAUAAGUGCAAAUCUAAAUUCUCUAAAAAUAAAAAGUUUAAAAGAUGUCGAGAUUUGUUAACUAACUGAUACGAACGUCGCCAACCUUGUGAUGAAACCCGUAAAAGAUUAGCUUCAGGAUCAACAAGAGGACACCAAGUUUGAAGCGGAUGACCUCAACCCGUUAAUCACGUGGUUAACGAACCUUGGUAUAAUGGUAGAAGACGCCACAACCUAGUGCGAUUCUAGAUUGAUAAGUCACGAACACAAUCACGUGGUUAACGAACCUUGGUAUAAUGGUAGAAGACGCCACAACCUAGUGCGAUUCUAGAUUGAUAAGUACGACAUUGAUAAGUCACGAACACCUAGAGAAAUUCUAAGGUAUUCAAGAAGCCUUGGAGAAACCAAGAAAACUCUCAAAAUCUGAUUUAUUGAUUGAAUGCCUAAACCAUUGGAAGUGUGGGCUAUUUAUAGCCUUACAUAGAGAUGAACAACUAAAUGUGGAACUAGUCUAGAGUUGUGGUCUUGACUAAGACUAACAAUUGUAGGCUUGACUAUUCCAUAAGACUAAGAAUUGUGGGUUUGACCAAAUCUUAUGAGGUCAUCCCUUAGGUAAACAACCUUAUGAGAUCAUUGUUUAGGUAAAUAACCUUAUGAGAUCAUCGCUUAGGUAAAUAAAGCAAGGCUAUGGACCAUUAAACCCUUAUUACAAUGACUUAACUAAAACAGCAAAUGUGACUAGAGAAGGGUCAUACAUGAUUCUCUUUGGCGUGCACUACAUGGAUGACUUUUAUUCCUUCAUGCUCAAGCCCCUCAAUGACCUUGGGGACAAUUUCUUGGCCUUGUAUUUCAUGAACAAGUCCUUGGAGUUCCUUCCUCAUCUUGUUAGCUCGUGCUCGAGUUACGGGUCCUAGGGAAACUCGAAUAGUUCGCACUGGUGUCUCUUGGUUCGUAUCAUCCCCCUCCUCUUCAAAAGGAUUUGUCCUCAAAUCAGCUUCAUCGUCUGCUCGUGUAAUUUCUUGACAAAAUCUGCUCGUUUAGCACCAUCCAUGUUAAUGUGCUCAGAAGAAGGUAAAGGUGAUAAGUCUAGUGGUGUUAAAGGAUUAAAACCAUAGACUAUUUCAAAUGGUGAAAAAUGAGUAGAACUAUGCACCGUGCGAUUGUAUGCAAACUCAACAUGGGGUAAACACUCUUCCCAGGUUCUAAUGUUUUUUCUAAUGAUGGCACGCAAGAGUGUAGAUAGUGUACGAUUGACAACCUCAGUUUGGCCAUCAGUUUGUGGGUGACUAGUAGUAGAAAAUAGCAAUUUGGUACCAAAUUUUCCCCACAAAGUUUUUCAAAAGUAACUCAAAAAUUUGACAUCCCUAUCAGAGACAAUUGUCCUAGGCAUGCCAUGCAAUCUAAUGAUUUCUUUGAAAAACAAAUCAGCAAUGUGCGAUGCAUCAUCUGUUUUGUGACAUGGUAUAAAAUGUGCCAUUUUUGAAAAUCUGUCAACAAUAACAAAGAUGCUAUUAUUUCCCCUCUUUGACCUAGGCAACCCUAAAACAAAAUCCAUGGAAAUGUCGGUCCAAGGUUCCUUAGGUACAGGUAAAGGACUAUAAAGGCCAUAGGGUUGAAGUUUAGACUUAGCUUUGUGGCAAGUAAUGCAUUUAGCCACCAUUCGCUCCACAUCUCGUUUCAUCCUUGGCCAAUGGAAGUGCUCUUGAAGGAUAGCUAAGGUUUUAAUCAAGCCACCUCCGUGUGCUUCCCUCACCCACCGUGCUUGGAGUAGGCCAUUCUCGAAUUGCUUUAACCUUCUCCUCGUCCACUUUGAUUCCCUGUUUACUCACAACAAAGCCUAGGAAGACAAGUUGAUCAGUACAAAAGGAGCACUUCUUAAGGUUAGUAUAGAGCUUUUCUCUUCGAAGUACAUCAAGAACAAGUUUCACAUGUUCAACAUGCUCAUCUAAGCUCCUACUAUAAAUCAGGAUAUCGUCAAAAUAUACAACUACAAAUUUUCCAAGGAAUGGACGAAGUACGUGGUUCAUCAACCUCAUGAACAUACUAGGUGCAUUAGUUAGUCCAAAUGGCAUAACUAACCACUCGUACAAGCCAUGUUUGGUUUUAAAGGCCGUUUUCCAUUCAUCCCCCUCUUUUAAGAGGCGUUUUCCAUUUGCAUCCCGCCUCUGUCAAUCCUAAUUGGAAGUGAAUAAACCGCUUUUUGAUCAAAUUUAGUGAAAAUCAACAGACCAUAUAAGCUCAUCUAACAUAUCAUCAAGUCUAGGAAAGGGUUGAUCAUAUUUUUAACGUAUGCAUUAACGGCCCUACAGUCAGUGCAGCAUUCGCCAACUUCCAUCCUUUUUAGGCACGCAAGAUGAACGGGAACCGCACAUGGCUCAAGCUUUCUCGGCCCAUCCCUUGUUAGAAACUCUUCGAUUUGGCGUUGGAGCUCUUUGUCUCAUCUGGACCAUUUUGUAGGCUGGUCUGCUUAGAAGUGGGGCACCUGGAACAAGUCAAUUUUGAUGCUCGAAUAUCCCGACUGUAUUGGUGGUAGUCCAUUAUGAAUCUCAUCGGGAAAGACAUCCUCAUAAUCCGCAAAAGAGAAGACAAUACUAGAUGGUAGAGUGUUAGUAAGAUCACUUGUAACAACCAACACCUCUUUGCACAAAAGUACAUAGAUGGGUGUAUUAACACUCAAAGCUUUUCUUACUACAUUGGCUUUUAUCAAUAGACUUUGCCUUUUCUCUCUCUUUUCAAUUUUGGCCGGCUCACUAUAUGUCUUUUUCCUCUCAAUUUUCUCAGCCUUAUCAUUUCCUGUUGAGCUCUCGAUUUUUUCUAUUUUUUUCUUCUCAUUCUCAAGCUCGCUCUCCUUGUUCAGGCUUUCUUGAUCUUCACGAACUUGGAUAGGAGUGAGUGGCACAAGCACAAUCCUCUUCUCGCCUUGCUUGAAGGAGUAUUUAUUGGUAAUGCCAUCGAAUGUAACUCCCUUGUCAAAUUGCCAUGGUCUCCCCAAUAGUAUGUGACAUGCUUGCAUAGGGACCACGUCGCAUAACACCACGUCCUCAUACUUUCCAAUUCGAAAAGGUACUUGGACUUGCUUGGUCACACGAACAUCCCCACUAUCAUUCAACCAUUGCAAACGAUAAGGUGUUGGAUGUCGUAGAGUGGGUAGUGCUAGUUUCUCCACCAUCAAGGCACUAGCGACGUUAGCACAACUACCUCCAUCUAUGAUCAAACUACAUACCUUGCCUUUGAUAUAGCAACGGGUGUAGAAAAUGUUCUCCCUUUGUACAUGGUCGGCAGCUUUCACUUGGGUUGCUAAGGCUCGUCUGACAACGAGUCCAACUCGUUCAUCGACGGGUAAUGCUUCCUCUUCUUCCUCAAGGGAUGGCAACUCUAUCCUUCUCAUUCUCAAUCAUCGUGAAAAACUCCAGCGUCAUUGGGAUAAAGAUGAUCAUAGUGCGUUGGUUCGGGCACUUGGCUGAGCAAUAUGCCCUCGGCUUGGCAUUUGAAAGCAUCUAGUAUCUCGAUUUCGCUCCAUGCUCGACUCAAUGGCAAGUCCUUGUGUUGCGUAGACUCCGCAUUAAGUCAUAUCCCGGCCUUGGGUCUUGUAAGGGAUGGAAAUUACUUACUCAGGCCCUUUAUCCUCUUUCUUUGGUGUGUAAGUUCGGAGACUUAAGAAGGGUGAAAGUUGGAGUAACUCCGAGUCGAACCCCUCCUCUUAAUCCUCCUUUCAAUCUUGAUGGCCUUUUCCACCAAAUCCCCAAGUUCCACAUAGUGGUGUAACUCUACUUGGUCAGCGAUUUCGGGCCUUAGUCCUUUCAAGAAGCGUGCCAUUGUUGCUUCUCGAUCCUCCAUGAUGUCUGCCCGUAGCAUGAGUAUUUCCAUUUCUUUGUGAUAGUCCUCGACACUUUGUGCUCCUUGGUUGAGGCUUUGAAGCUUUUGGUACAAGUCACGGUAGUAGUGACUAGGUACGAAACGCUUCCUCAUUAGUCGUCUUAGCUCUGUCCAAGUUUGUAUGGUAGGUUCACGACUCCUCCUUCGACUAGUGGAGAGUUGAUCCCACCAACAAACGGCUGUAGUCCGGUGAAUUCGACCACGGCCUAACUUGACCUUUUGCGCUCUUCCGAGUAAAGAUUGCAUCGAAAAACAAGUUCAAUCCGCUGUCUCCCACUCUAAGUAGGCAUCAAGGGGUCUGAUGUCCUUGAAGGCGGAAAUUUCAGUCUUUAUGCCCGAAUGUGGUCAUGUAUGAAGGGCCUAAGGCCAUCAACGCUUGACGUACUUUGCCUUAUGCUCAUUAGUUGUUGUCUCGAGUUAGAGUCGCUAGGACUCAUGUGCAUAAGGCGCUUUACACGGCUGGCCUUGGAGCUUCCAUGAGACAACUCUAAGCUGUCAAUGCGUUGGUGCAUCAGUUCAAGUUUUUGGUCCAUCAUGCGUCCCAAUUCGCCUUUGAUUGCUUCUGUGAAAAGUUUAAGAUCAAAAGCUUGGGAGCUUGCUCCCUCCUCGUUAGCCAUGGUAGGGUAAAAAAAAAUAAUAAUGGAAAGAAGCAAAGUUUAUCUCGCACACUUCCUCACGUGUUUACUCUCGCUCUCGUGUUUGAACACUCUAAGAACUCACCAAGGUAUUUUCAAGGCUCCUCGGUCAACUCCUCGAAGAAGUUAGAACUCCUUCUAGUGUGGAUCGACUUACCAACCAGGGUCACAAGAUGCACUUUGAACGAAAAAAGAACAAAAGAUGAAGGGACUGACCACGACUCAAUGAAUGACUCAAAGUUGAAUUUUAAGGAUCCUAGACAAAAACUCUACCCAAAACUGGAAUUUUGAGCUGCUGGUUGCUGCAUUUCUGGGCAGUGUUUUGGUAGAUAAAUGGACACUUAGAAGAUUCAGAAUGACACUUAAAACUAACCUAAUGAUGCACGAAAAUUUCCAGAAUUAAUGAUUGGACAGAAAUUCCCCAAUGGUUGCAAAGAUGGAAUCCGAAUGGAAAAUGAAUUUGUGUUGUGGUAGGACUGUUUUGGAAACCCAAGGCUGACUUUUCUUCUUUAAUCCUUUGGAAACAAGGAUUAGUCUUCCUAUUUGCUGGUUCCCAUAAAUUCUAAGGUCAAGUUCAAGAUUGGAACUGAUUUGGUUGUUUUUGGGAACAAGGGUGGAAAAUUUGACUUGAACAGGUUAGAAAAUUUGACUUGAAUAGGUUGGGAAAUUUGACUUGAAUAGGCUGAAUAUUCUUUUUCUUCCUUUGUUUUUGUUUUCUAAUCAGCCAAGAAGAGCCAAAUUUCGUGGCUAAAAUGUUCUUAGUCAAGAAAGAAGAUUAUUGUGGUGAAGACAAGGAUUUUGGCACCUGAAAAUUUGCAGCCUUGUUGUUUACCAAGAUUUGGUUCCCAAAACCCAGAAACUUCAAGAUUCUUUCAAGAAUUCAAGAUGUUAAUUCCCAGAAUUCAAGAAACACAAAAUUGAAGAUGAUUUCCUCCCUAAACAAUCCAAGAUUUCACGAUUUGAUCAAGACAGAUUUUGGUUGGCGUCAAGAAUCCCAACUAAAGUUCCAAGAACUUCAAGAUUGUGGUUUUAAACAAUCAGGAACUUCAAAAAAAAACCCAAGUUUUGAUCAAGACAGAUUUCCAGGAAUUUUUGUAAAGUUAGCCAGCUAUUUUUUUUUUGUAUGUAAACAAGAACACAAGGUAAUAACUAGAUAGGACUCUAAAACCCUUGCUACAAACUGAUUUUUUUCGGAUGAACAGUAACCUCGAAUGAUCAAAUAGAACAAAAGACUGGAAUUGAAUGGAUAUAACAGGAUAGAAACAAGACUCAAACAAAGAAUCAAGAAUAAGACACAAAAAAAAGGCUGGACCAAACCAGGCUAACCACAGCAAUUAACAACAACUAGACACAAGUUCAUGUCGUAACAAAUCUGGAAAAAUAACGCAAGAACACGAAGUAACAAAUCUGGAAAUUGCGGAUAGCAACUUAGAACACGAAAACAGAAUUUUCGACAACUUGACUCGAAAAGCAAAUAAAAAAAAGGAUAUAACGUGAUACCUCUUAAUUAGCUCUGAUUACCAACUGAUACGAACGUCGCCAAUCUUGUGACGAAACCCGUAAAAGAUUAGCUUCAGGAUCGACAAGAGCACACCAAGUUUGAAGCGGAUGACCUCAACCCGUUAAUCACGUGGUUAACGAACCUUGGUAUAAUGGUAGAAGACGCCACAACCUAAUGCGAUUCUAGAUUGAUAAGUCACGAACAUCUAGAGAAAUUCUAAGGUAUUCAAGAAGCCUUGGAGAAACCAAAAAAACUCUCAAAAUCUGAUUUAUUGAUUGAAUGCCUAAACCAUUGGAAGUGUGGGCUAUUUAUAGCCUUACAUAGAGAUAAACAACUAAAUGUGGAACUAGUCUAGAGUUGUGGUCUUGACUAAGACUAACAAUUGUAGACUUGACUAUUCCAUAAGACUAAGAAUUGUGGGUUUGACCAAACCUUAUGAGGUCAUCCCUUAGGUAAACAACCUUAUGAGGUCAUUGCUUAGGUAAAUAACCUUAUGAGAUCAUCGCUUAGGUAAAUAAAGCAAGGUUAUGGACCAUUAAGCCCUUAUUACAAUGACUUAACUAAAACAGCAAAUGUGACUAGAGAAGGGUCACACAUGGUUUCUCUUUGGCGUGCACUACAUGGAUGACUUUCAUUCCUUCAUGCUCAAGCCCCUCAAUGACCUUGGGGACAAUUUCUUGGCCUUGUAUCUCAUGAACAAGUCCUUGGAGUUCCUUCCUCAUCUUGUUAGCUCGUGCUCGAGUUACGGGUCCUAGGGGAACUCGAAUAGUUCGCACUGGUGUCUCUUGGUUCGUAUCACUAACCUUUUGUCAACCAAUAGUAUCUCCCGAUCAAUUUUGUUAUCAGUAGAUAUCUGAUAGUAUGGACCAACAGAUAUAACUAAACCAAUUAUAUCUGUAAUAAAAUAAAAAAAUUUUAAUUAAUAGCAAUUGAUUUGCAGAAAUAUAAUAAAAAUGAUAUUAAUUGUGAGGACGUACCUAUCAAUUGCAGAUCGUUAUCCAUGUACUGUUUUAUAUGUCUCAAUUUGACCAAAUUGAACUUCAAACGGGGGAUGGUUGCACAAUCAUCUAAAUUUUUUACUAUUUUUGUAUCAUUCUCAAAUGACAAUUGGAACUGAUGUGGUGCAAUCCGGUACUUGGCAUCUGCUGGGAUUACAUGUAUAUUCUGAAACAAAAUUGGUGAGACAUGAUAAGUCACUUAACUCUCUGCUAAAAAUCUCUUCUGCAAUACAUAUAGAUAUAGAUAUUCCCUCGAUUAUAUUGAAUGUAUCGUACAUUUCAUCUUGUGAUGUUUCAAAAUAUUUAUACUUUUGAACUAUUUUUUUAAUGUUAUCUGCAUAUUUAUCUAUUUUUAUACUAAAUUCAAAUUUAAAUAUUUAAAAUUUUGAAAGUAAUUUUAUAAAUAAAUUCACUAACAUCGCCAUCAACGCACUACUUUCAAUCAAGUUGAAACCUCCAAAUGCGACGAAUAAUUUGGGACAGAGAGUUACAAUAAUAAUAAUAAUAAUAAUAAUAAUAAUAAUAACAGUCAAAACACUCUGAUUAUUCCAUACAGAAUACGACAUUCCAAUCCACCAAGCUCUCAGUGAUAAGUUUUGUUAAUGGUAAUAGCUGUACUUGAUUGGCUUUCUUGAAUUUAGAUCUUUCGAAGUUGACGCAUGUCUCCAACCGCAAACGUAAAUUUCAGAGAACUCCAGAAUCCAAAAAAUAAUUAAUUAUAGUUUCAUCACUUCAAGUUUGACAGCGGAAGUACGGGAUAGUCUAUUUUCCAAAUUAAAAAAAAAUUAGCAACGGUGGAAAAGCAGCCAGUCACACAUCUCUUCACGUGUCCCCUGUGAGAUUAUCAAAAUCCCCUAAACGACAUCCCCAGAUUUUUUUCCCAUAAAAAGGAACAGUUAAUAUAGAACUUUCCCCAAACUACCCUCCCUCACAUUACACCCAAAUGAGCUGAACGUUACAACUUAUAACAGCAUGCUUAUCAAGAAUUGGUUUUGAGCUGUAACAAGUUUAAAUUUUGUAUCUAAACUGAUUGUAGUAUCAACCUAAUAAUAAAUUUGUUUGAUAAGGGUGUUAACCCACUGAAGUUUUUAGAAAAAAAAAGGUCUUAAAUGUAAAGUUUUUCUAAUAAUUAUAAGUGAAUCUCCAGCAAAUGUGGGAAAAAAAGUAUAAUAUAUCAUUUGAAUUUAAUCUAAUUAGCUUGAACUAAUUAUAAUCAAUAGACUCGAAGUUUAGAGCAUGUAUGGUUAAAAAUUUUGUAAAUAUUAUUUUUUUAAAAUAAUACAAUGUGUAUAUAUUCAUAUAAUUUUAUUGUACGCAUACAUUUUGCUAUUCAAAAACUAGUUUUUCAAAUACUAUAAAUUUUUUUUAAAAGUACUCUAAAAAGUAGUCUAAUUUUUUUAAUAUUCAAAAAAUAUCCCAAAAUAUAAUUUAAAAACUCUACUACUGUUAAAUAUUCCAAAAUAUUUUCUCAAAAUAUCCCAAAAUAUACUCUAAAAACUUUGCUAUAGUAAAAUUUAUCAAAACAUCCCAAAAAACAGCUAAUCCAAACGGAGCCACAAUAACUUUAUAAACGAGAAUGGUACAAUAUAUUAAGGGUUUAUUAUAUUAACUUUUACUCUCUCUGUCCCCAUUGUUACUACAAUGUUCUUAUUUUUUGGACGUCCCAAAAUAAGGGUUAUUAUUUAAAAGUCAACACAAUAUUUUAUUAAUCUUCCUGUUGCAUCAUUUGAAAAAAUAUUUUUUCUCACCUAUCAAUGCAUUUCUCGUAUUUUUCAAAUUUUGAAUUUGAACAUAACAUUGUAAAAUCACUCAAUUCCAACAUAUUAACAUACAAAUAUACAAUGAUUACAUAUUCUCUUAAAUAGUUGAUUGUCAAAAAAUGAUUUAAAUUAUGGGACGAAAGGAGUAACAAAAAUAAGGGCUAUAGUGAACUACAAUUCUCCCUUGUUAUAAAAUUACUCAAAUCCAACUUAUUCACUUACAAAUAUACAAUGAUUGCAUGUUAUCUUUCAAAAAACGACUUGAAUUGUGGGACAGAAGGAAUAAUAGAAAUAAGUGCCAUAAUGAAUUUAGAAUUCUCCCUGACAAAUACCUCCUCUCAAUCCGGAUGCUCUUGUUAAGCUUUGGCUCUAUUGGCUUACUUGGCCAGCUUGGCUGGAGUGGGAGUUUUUUUGCCAAAAUAACACUCUUACUAAAAAAUAUUUCCAAUGUGAUUCACUUUCAAAUUUUAUUACUAUAAUGAUAUUAUUGUUCCCAUCUAGUUAUCCUGAUUGUUAUGUAGGAUAACAAGAAAGGAAAGUUCUAAUCCAGUUUAUAGUUUCAAACAUUAACUAAAAUUUUAAUUUUUUUUAUUAUAGAGGCACAAGAAGCAUAACUUUUAUAAUUUCCUUAUAAUUAUUUAAAAUAAAAUUUACCAUUAUUGACCUUACUAUUAUUGGUCUCCGAAUUUUUUUAAAUGUAUCAAACCUAUUGCAUAUAUUUUUUCAAAAAAUAAUUUUAAAAAUACAAAAAUUGCAACGAAAAUUGUAAGCAAUUGCAAAAAUUUCAAGGUUAUCAUAUUUGUUUAUAUUAUCUUUCCUACUCUUUGAAAAGACGAGAAUAAUCUUCAUUUACCUUAAGAUUAUCGACUUGCGAAACAUAUUUUUUAGAUGCUGUUAAUAUAAAGAUUGGCUUCUUGGAUUAUGUUUGACAAGGGAAGGACAACGAAAGAAAAAAAAUGUGGGAAGAUUUAUAAAGAAAAUUGGAGAAAAUAUUAGAUGAGAAAGAGAAAUGGAGGGUCUUUAUUUCUAUCCUGACACAUAUGCAGCCUAAGUGGCAAAAAAGGAUCACAAAGGUAAUAAAUUUUAAAAUUAAGUUACUUUGAGUAUAUAUUUUGGAAGAAGGGUUAUUUUGGCAAUAAACUCGCUGGAGUGGUGCCGCAAAUGAGUGCACACUCGUAAUUUCUCGCAUACCCAGUGUCAAACUCGUACUCCACUUCCGUAUACAUAUAGAGUCCUCCCACUGCGUUACUUCCAUCUCAGUCCAAAGCACUCCAAUCUCAGUCACUACUACACUGAACCGCGAGCAGGAGUUUGAGUGGUGACGAAACAAUCACAGAAUUAUCUUUCCUUUAAUGGCUGCCGUUGGAUCAUCCGUGAGGAUUUCUCCUUAUUACAAUCAUAAAAACUGUAAUGCUGGAACUGACGGCGAUUUUUCCCGGCGGCUGUCAUUCUCGUCCGUGUCGUCCAAUGCCUUUGGCGAAAAACUGAUCGCUUCAGUUGCCCAAGGACGACGGCGUCCGGAAAGUCGGAAGCCGUUAAUAGUCUCUCCCAAAGCGGUUUCUGAUUCUCAAAAUUCGCAGACAUGUCUUGACCCUGACGCUAGCCGUGUAAGUCUUCUCUUCUCUAGUGUUUUUUUCUUUCUUCUUUUUCUUUUUUUUUUUUCCAAUUUUGCAUGUGCAAGUGCUUUAUGUUCACUGCGUUUGUUAUAUAAUUUCCAGGAAAGUUUGAAAAUAUAUGGAGUUAUCGUAUUGUAAUGAAAUGAGUUGAUGCUGUGCGGUGGAUUUGUAGAAAACUUGAGCUAAAGUUUUGAGCUUUGGUCGGUUGUCUCGGUUAGUGUGAGGGUGCAUAAAAUUUGGCUUUCAAAACGAAGUUACGUGAAUGUGCUCGGUAGAUCCAGGAUCUACGCUCUCUUGCUCUGUGCAUUUGCGAUUUGAGCGAAUAAUCUACAGUAUAUAAGUAUUUUGUCUUCUGAGUGUGUCUGUAGCAAAAGAAAAAAAGAGGAAAUUAAUAAGACAAAAAUGAAUUGACAGUAGUCAUAUCUAAAACAGUAAAUAAUUAUGAUAGAAAAUGCUUAUUGUAAGAGUUGGUUUUUAACAAGUUGAACUGAUUAUUUGAUGCACAGGAGCUGGAUUUAAUUGUUCACUUGUUUACUGGUGGAGUGAUAGCAGUUGUCUUGGCAUCUAAUCACUGACUAAUUGGGAUGAGUACGAUGAUGAGGAUUAUAAUUAUAAAUUGCUCAUUGUGAUAUGUAUUUGUAUUCUUAUAGCUCACAACUGUGCGUCUUGUUGGCCUAGGUGUGCUUUUUAGUUUAGUUCUACUCUACUGGAAUUUUAAGACGAAAAAGAAAGACUGCAAAAUUUGAGAUAUCCUAGUAGUGGAUCAGGGUUUUAGUAUCAACAAGUCAAGUGUUGGACGACAGAAUCAUACAUAUUAUUGUCUCCAAAAGUUUUAGCACCAUUUGUUUUAGUGGAAUGGGUAGAUAAGAACUUGUACUGCAACAUACAGACUGAUGACUUUUAUUUUACAUUUGAGGUCUUUAGUUACUCUCGGUUAAUAGUAUCUGUCAUUGUUCAUUGUUCAGAGUGUUUUGGGAAUUAUUCUCGGAGGUGGAGCUGGGACGCGUCUUUACCCUCUUACAAAGAAGCGGGCCAAGCCAGCUGUUCCACUGGGUGCAAAUUAUCGGUUGAUUGAUAUCCCUGUCAGCAAUUGCUUGAAUAGUAACAUCUCUAAGAUCUAUGUUCUUACGCAAUUCAACUCUGCAUCUCUCAAUCGUCAUCUUUCACGGGCAUAUGCAAGCAAUAUGGGUGGUUACAAGAAUGAAGGUUUCGUUGAAGUUCUUGCAGCUCAGCAGAGUCCAGAAAAUCCUAAUUGGUUCCAGGUAAUUACCUUUCUUAAACUAAUGACUUCUGUGCCUGCUAAUAUAUUGAAUCUGCCCUUUGAUGGCUGUCUUCACAUGGAUAGCUGCUUCAAGAAUAUGAUGUGCUAAUCAUGGUUUUGGAGUUUCUCACUUUGCCUUAGGUGUCAAUUAUGUUAGGACAUGUUGUCCAACUUGUACUUUGUCGACUUUAUGUAGAGAUCAGCAUCAACUGCAACCACAAGUAGAAUUAGCUAGUUCUGUGUUGUAUUAUUUUGUUAGACUUGUUCCCUUGAAGAAUAUUGUCUGCUUGCUGGCACAUGUUUAUGACUUAUAUUUCUUGUUUAUCCGAUAUGGGUCAGGUGGUAAAUUUAGGUAUUCAAACAUAUUUGAGGUAGCAAAAGGUUUCCAUGUUGCCCUAUCCUUGUUCUUUCAAGCAUGUGCAAGUUGCUUGAAUUCCUAUAAUGGCAUUCCUUUUAUCAUCAGGGUACAGCUGAUGCUGUAAGGCAGUACCUAUGGCUGUUUGAGGAGCAUAAUGUUCUUGAAUUCUUGGUUCUUGCUGGAGAUCAUUUGUACAGAAUGGAUUAUGAGAGAUUCAUUCAAGCUCACAGAGAAACAGAUGCUGAUAUAACUGUUGCUGCCUUGCCAAUGGAUGAAAAACGUGCUACUGCAUUUGGUCUCAUGAAGAUCGAUGAAGAAGGGCGCAUCAUUGAAUUUGCAGAAAAACCAAAAGGAGAGCAAUUGAAAGCGAUGAUGGUAAGCUUAUGAAAUAGUUACUCACUUUAGAGCCAGAUGGCCUGCAUUAUGAAUUCUCAAACUUUUUUACAAAAUCAGACAGUGAUACCAUUCACAACCUGCUCUUGUUACAGGUUGAUACAACUAUUCUGGGUCUUGAUGAUGAGAGAGCCAAAGAGAUGCCUUAUAUUGCCAGCAUGGGUAUAUAUGUCAUAAGCAAAGACGUGAUGAUAAGUCUGCUUAGAGAAACGUUUCCCGGAGCCAACGAUUUUGGAAGUGAAGUAAUUCCAGGUGCAACCUCAUUGGGACUGAGGGUACGACAUUUCUAAAAAUUGCUAUUCUAUGAUCAGUUUUACACCAGAUUUUGUCCAUUUGUGCUCUAAGAGAGCUAUUAUUGUUGAACUUCACAUAACAUUUGUGAUGUAAGUUGAUGGUUGUGAAUCCAUUAGCCUCCCAACCACAAAUAAUCUGACCAGCUAUAGAUUCUGAUUAAACAAAUAUAAUGUUGUUAUGCAGUUGUAUUGGAAGUAAACUGCUCACCCUCCUAAAAAUCAUGAACAUCUUAUUGAGUUGAUAGCUUUUUGCCAAGGGAUAGAAUUUUUUUUACGUAAAAAUUUGCUGGCUGAUAUGCCGGUCAUGUGUGUAUGACAUUCAAAAAUUACCAACCACUUGACAUUUUUGUGGUGUAAUUGGUGCAUCUUCGGACUCUUGUUUCUGGAAGUCUGAUUGCUGCUGCUUUCUUUAGGUUCAAGCUUAUUUGUAUGAUGGCUACUGGGAAGAUAUUGGUACAAUUGAAGCUUUCUAUAAUGCCAACUUGGGGAUCACAAAGAAACCAGUGCCAGAUUUCAGGUUUGCCUAUGUAUUCUUCAGAUAAUUCUUCAUAUUGUCUCAUGUUUUUAUGCUGUGUUUUUCAACUGAAGCUCAAAUCUCAUUUUGAACAUUUUUUAGCUUCUAUGAUCGGUCAGCUCCAAUAUACACCCAACCUCGAUACUUACCUCCUUCCAAGAUGCUAGAUGCGGAUGUCACAGAUAGUGUCAUUGGUGAAGGCUGUGUCAUCAAGGUAAGAUUAGCCUUGGGCAGCAAGGCUACACUUCUAAUGGUUAAUGAUUCCAUUUGAUUCCAUUUCUGGUUACCAAACUGCAUUUUUGCUGUCUCAGUUUUGGAAAUUGCUGUCUUUUGAUUUCUUUUUCAAAAACUAGCAUUUAUGUUGUUUGAUCCUUUAGCUGGAAAUAAACCACUGUACGACUUUUCAUUACCAUGCAGUGGUCUAGAAUAGUGAAGGAGCAUUGCAUUUAAGGAAACUAAUUUUAGUGAAAGAGUAGAUACGCGUUUGUCCUAAUCUAUAGUAUCUUUCUUCUCGCAGAACUGUAAAAUACAUCACUCCGUAGUUGGACUAAGGUCAUGCAUCUCAGAGGGUGCAAUUAUAGAAGAUUCACUACUCAUGGGAGCGGAUUAUUAUGAGGUAAUUCUGUAUAUGAAUGGGCCGAUUCUAAUUACUUUCAUGUAUUGAGUAUUAAAUUAGUAGUCUUCAGAUAAUGCACUGUGAUCCACAUUGUUGAUCUAAAUAGCUAGCUGUUUUGGGUAACAUUAUCUGAUUACGCAUUGUUUGAUAAUUCUUCUUGGGGAAUUGCACAUUUUGCACCUUGUUUUAGUUGGCCAACUGAUAUAAUUUAUUCUACUUGCUCCAGACGGAUGCUGACAGGAGGUUUUUGGCUGCAAAAGGUAGUGUUCCAAUUGGUAUUGGGAAGCACUCUCAUAUCAAGAGAGCAAUAAUUGACAAGAAUGCUCGAAUUGGAGAUGAUGUGAAGGUUCAAUUCCUGUAUUUUCUUAUUGAUCUCGUAAAAUUCAAUCGAAUCAGUGUAUUUCCUAAAACUGAACACAGAUAUCCAUUAUACUCCUAUAUCUAAAAAUAUUGCACGGCUUUGUUGGUACUGGUGUGGUAUUUGAGCAUAUUGUCAACUGCGAAUUCCCUGACAUGCGAUUCUAUUUUUCAGAUCAUUAAUGGUGACAAUGUCCAAGAAGCAGCCAGAGAAACUGAUGGGUACUUCAUCAAGAGUGGGAUUGUCACCGUUGUCAAGGAUGCUUUGAUUCCCAGCGGAACUGUCAUCUAGAGAUCUCCCUCACUUAAAUGCAGCAUCCAUAAGGGAAGUGAGGCGUCGGUUUGCUGUUCACUUUUUUGCCUGACUACAUAUGCAGAAAACUAUCCUUCCACUUAUCGUGUAUUGUAUGCGGUGUAUAUUCUGAAAACAGUAAUUUAUCUAAGACAUGAUAAA
Molecule: long non-coding RNA, 59334 nt
Filed under: Coffea arabica (coffee)
Lineage: Eukaryota; Viridiplantae; Streptophyta; Magnoliopsida; Gentianales; Rubiaceae
Description: long non-coding RNA (CARA_LNC003880)
Source: RNAcentral